This 82706-nucleotide long non-coding RNA is filed under the name Coffea arabica (coffee). Its description in RNAcentral is "long non-coding RNA (CARA_LNC002491)". The record is from RNAcentral. Lineage: Eukaryota; Viridiplantae; Streptophyta; Magnoliopsida; Gentianales; Rubiaceae.
GCAGACAUGGUUGCUGCCACUGGUACCAUGGACAUUGCCAAAGAUGCUGUCCACCUGCUGAGGAGACCCCUGAACAUCGUUGCAGACAUGGUUGCUGCCGCUGGUACCAUGGACAUUGCCAAAGAUGCUGUCCGCCUGCUGAGGAGACUUGCAGACAUGGUUGCUGCCACUGGUACCAUGGACAUUGCCAAAGAUGCUGUCGAACUGCUGAGCAGACCCCUGAAGCUACAUCCGGAGAUGAGGUAAAAAAUUAACGCUAAAUAAAUAAGGGCGUGACACAGGAUCCGUGACACCUAUAUUAUUACCUUAAUAUGUUAUGUUGUGUUUGCUUUUAAUGGUUGAUUUCCUAUAUGUGUAAAAGACUUGUGCGGCUUCUCUUUGAAUUGGUGUAGAAUCAACGGGGGAAGCAUGUAAUGAGUACUCAGUUCGAGUGCUCUUCUUAUGUUGUUGUCAUGUUGAAUAAAUAAAUCUACUUGAUCAUCUACUACAAUUGAUGAUGCUUUGACUUUACCUCGUAAACGUGUCAUUUCACAAAUCUCAGGUUUUCAAGCUAAGUCACUUCCUCUUCGAUAUCUUGGCUGUACUCUCUAUUCAGGGAGAAGGAAAAGCAGUUAUUUUUCAGAUAUCUGCACUUCAGUUGCUAAGAGAAUUCUGUCUUGGAAGGAGAAGCUUUUGUCAUCUGGAGGGAGGUUAGUGUUACUCAAAAAUGUUCUAUCAUCUUUGCCUAUUCAUGUCUUAGCUGCUACAACUCCUCCAAAGGGUGUUCUCCGCACCCUUGAGAAAGCAUUUGCAAAUUUUCUAUGGGGCACAACUGAUAAAGGGUCUCGGUAUCAUUGGAUUGCAUGGGAUUCAUUGUGUAAGCCGUAUGCCGAAGGGGGUGUGGGAGUGAGGGCUUUGACUGAUGUGUUUAAUGCCUUUUCAUUGAAGUUAUGGUGGUCUUUAAGGCAACGUCAGUCUCUUUGGGCAGAAUUUAUGUACAAUAAAUAUUUACAUAAAUUGCAUGCUUGCGAAGCGGAAUUUCAGCCUUUACAAUCGGUAACUUGGAAGAGAUUGGUUACAUAUCAGUCUUUGGCAAAUUCCCAUAUUCAAUGGGUGUUGCAGAAUGGCUUGAUAAACUUCUGGCAUGAGAAUUGGACUGGUACAGGUCCUUUAUGUCAGCAGAUCGACAUUUUUGGAGAUCACACAGUGGCGGAUUUUGUUUCAAAUGGUCAAUGGAACAUUCCAAUGCUUCGACAAUGGCUCCCAGAAAACAUUGUAUCUACGAUUCUACAAAUCAUUCCCCCGGAUGUUGUUUCUAAUCAACCUGAUAGGAUGGUGUGGGAUUUAGAAAUUUCUGGUUCAUUUUCCUUUUCUUCAGCCUAUAAGGUGGUCCGCACCGUUGCCAAUUCGUCAAUCUUUUCAUCUACCAUUUGGGUGAAAGACUUGCCAGCAAAAAUCUCAUUCUUUAUGAUGAGAAUGCUAUCUUGGAGACUGCCGGUUCUGGAUGUGUUGCAGCGCUUUGGUGUGUGCGGACCAUCUCGUUGCGUUUGCUGCCAAAAUCCUGGGUUUGAUUCUAUUGAUCAUGUUUUCUGUACAGGUGAAAUCCCUCGCCAAGUUUGGAAAUCGUUUCAGGUUGAUAUUGGCGAGUUUGUCACUCCUUCAACGGUAAAGCAUGCAGUCAUUCAAUGGUGGUUGCUGCCAGCUAAAAACAUUAAGCUUAAACUGGUUUAUCAGCUGCUGCCAUCGCUGAUUUGCUGGCAUCUUUGGAAAGCUAGGAAUACUGCGGUUUGGGAAGGCAAGGUGUUGUCGGUCAUGCAGAUUAAUACUUUUGUUCUUUCUGAUCUCUAUGACAUUUUCCAAUUACAUUUUACAGACAUUGGAGUUGGAAGGUACUCGUGGCCAUGUUUUUACUCUUCACUGGUGAGUUGGCAAAAACCAUUUAAAUUCAUCCUGGUUAGGUGGAUCCCUCCAGUCUUGACGACAUGUAAACUGAAUACCGAUGGUAGUUCUCUUGGUAAUCCGGGAAGGAGUGGCGGUGGGGGGGUUUUGAGAAAUAGCUCGGGGGUUUUUUUGUUGGGUUUUGCGUGUUAUUGGGGUGUCAUACCGAGUUUACAUUCAGAGUUGAAGGCUUUGUUAUUUGGAGUUAAGCUUUGUGUUAUGCGAGGUUUCUUUUGCUUGCAUUUGGAAUCAGAUUCGUCACUUCUUGUCCAAAUGGUUAAGGGGAUUAGUAGAUGUCCAUGGGAUUUGCAACGAGAGCUGGACCAAUUGCUCACUUUUAGGCAUUUCUUUCAAUCCGUCACUCAUUGUUAUCGUCAAGCGAAUUUGCCUGCAGACCGCUUAUCUAAGGUUGGAACUGAGUUAAAGUCCAACAUAGUGUAUGAUUCAUGGUUGGAAUUGCCACGAUUGGUUCGUGGAGACCUCAAGUUGGAUAGGUUAGGUUCUCCUAAUUUUCGGGUUUACUAAUCAUUUGGAUUUCUGGAAUGGGGUCUAGUUCAUCCACACAGAUUCAAGCGUUGUUGCUGUUACUGUUGUUUUGCUAUUGCUGCUGUUAUUUUUUGCUCUCUGGUUGAGCAAUUUCUUUCUUUUUGCACCUCUGUUUGGCAGAUGCUGAUGUAACGUGAUAUUUAUUUAUCAAUAAAAGGUAUAAGGUUUUUUUUAAAAAAAAAAAAAAAAGAUCUUCUUAUGUUUUUUUUCACUUUAUCUUCCUUCAAGAUUUUUGGUGGAAAUGCUUCAUUUAUACGAAUUUUCCUAGUUAGUAAAUGCUUCUAUUACACUUGUACAAUACACAUUUAAAAGUAUAACACAACAAAAGCUUGUGUAGUUCAUAUAUUUAAAAAAUAUUCAUACUUUUCAACUAAACUAUAAAAAUAUGUAAUAAAUUCUUUAUACAUUAUACUUUACGAACUAUACUUUAAAUUUUAAAAAUAUUUAAUAGUAUCACUUAUCAAUAACUCCACAUGUUAAUUUGUCUUCCAAUUCAGUAAAUUAUAGUAGCUAAUUCUCAAAGCUAACCGACACCAAAAUUCCCUCACUUGUUCAGCUCCUAGUGGAUUUAUAUUAAUUACAUUGCAUUUAUUUCCUAAGCAUGAGUUUUGUAACCCCUCAUAUUAAAUCUCAAUGAUUGAUUUUAACGGUUACCCAGGCGUCUAGUAAUUGGUUUGCUAUUAAUUUGAACUAGACAUUUAUUAGGUCUAGUAGAAUUUAUUCCUUCUUAUCACUUAGUUCAUAAACCUUACGAAUCGUUAAAACCAGCUCUAACAUCAGCUAACAAGACUUCUACAAUUUCGGGUUUUGCUUAGAAAUCAGUCUGAUAGGUUAACUUGCUUCGUCCAACUUUAUGAGUUGCUUCUUUUUUCUUUUUUUUUCCAUAUUUGACAUUUCAUCUUACUUUAAUAUGGGGACCAAGUUAGUAUUGUUGACAUUUCAUAUCUAAGACUUCUUAAUUAAUUGAUUUGUUAUAAGAACUAUAACGUAUGCGUGUUUUGUAAGCUUUCAUGUUUUUUUAUUUUUUCAAUUCUUGUGGACCAGCAACGGAUAGUUUCUUCUAGUACCAAUCUUCCUUUGAAGUUCUUUAAUUUUUUUUUUGUGUCCAAAUGUAAAUUAAAAGAACCAACAACUUUGAACAAGUCUAUAUCUAGUAAAGAUAGAUAUAAAGAGGGAUACUAUAUCACUGCAACAAAAAAGGGAUUUGGCGAGGAGCAAAAGUCCACGCCAAAAUUUUUGACUUCGUCGCCAAUUAAUUUCAGCGAGAAAAAUGCUUCCUCGUCAAGUUUCUUGCUAGAUGCUCAUCGCUAAAAGUUAUUAGAGAGGAUGUUGUUGCUUUUCUCGCUAAUGAAACAGAUCAAUAGCAAGGAUUGACCUCCUCGCCAAUCUGAUUCAAAUACUAUGGCGAGAAAAGCUUUCCUCACCACUAAAGUUAAAAACUCCCCACAAAAACCAGUAGUUCCUAGCAAAUAGUCAAGGUGUUCUGCUAGGAAAAAUAGCGCAUCCUUACCAAUAGUAUAGAAUUAGCAAGGAUUCUUUUGACAAAUCUGCAAUGCCUCGUGUACCAGUAAAACAUUUUUGGCCAGGAAAGUUUCCUCUCUAAUAAGCAAUAAUUGAUUAUUGUCUAACUGUUUGGUGGGAAAAUGUUCCUCUCCAAUGCUGUUAUGAACAUUUCUUAAUCCCAUUUAGCAUGCUAAUCUUAAUUCUCUGAGCAAAUUACUGGGUGGUUUUAUUAGAAAAUUUAGCUGCAAAUAGCUUCAAUUUGGCUUCUCAUGUGUCUGUUGUACAUUUUCCAGGUUCUUAUAAGUAUCAAAUUGUUUGGCAAAAUUUUUUUUUAAUGAAUCAUGACCAACGUAGCUGCUCAUUAAAUUUAAACUCAUAAGCCCUAGUAUUUGAUAGCUUUUUGGAAUAUCACUUGGUGCCAACAACCCCCUUUUGCUACUUUGAUAAACAUUCAAUAGAAAACAUACAAAAGCUUUGGUUAGCUAAAAAUAAUUGUUAGCAAAGUAAUACAUCAACAUCCAGCUCUUUCAACAUCUUGAGCCAUACAAAUAGGAAGUGCUUGAAAUCAAUUGGCAAUCCAAAUUUUUUUUAGCUCAUUAACCAUCCAAGAAAUCGCAACUUCAAUAAGUCAUUACAAAAGAAGAUUUCAUCAAGAGAACACCACAAAAAGGAGAAGCAGAAAAAAAAUAUAAGAGAGAGAGAGAGAGAGUUAAACUAGUCAUAUGGACACAUAUUUGUCACCUCAGUAUUUCCAAUUCCUUAAUUCAGUCCAGUUAUCUUGGAACUCUAUCGGCAAUCCAUGGAACAUUUUUUGAAUGACAAUAUGCUGUUGCAACCUUCUGGUGAAGACUUCAAAGGUUCUAUGAUAGGUUGCAUUUUUGUCAUUAAUUCUAUGAUUAUUUUCCUCAUUUAUAUUACCAAAUAUUGUAUUAAUUGAUUGAUUCUACUUAUAUUUGGUAUUUUGUGUCAAUUGUAGGAAGGUGGAGCAAAAAAUAAUAAAAGAGGUGAUUUUUCAAGAGUUUUCCAUUUCAAGAUGGAGUUUACGUGGAGUAUUGGAUGAAAAUUAGGAAACUACCACUUUUUAUUAGAUGUCUUAUUAGGGAACAAUUAGCAAUAGUUGGAGAAGUUUCCUUUUGCAAUUAGAAUUCUAUUUUUAGUUGGCCAAUGGACUGCCGAAAUAAUGGACUUCAAUUAGGAAACAAAGAGAGAAAAAAGGCCGGAAUCCCGCGUGAUUACUACCUUGGAGGGAACAAGAAAAAGGAGACGUCCGCUGGUCUCUUCUUUAGUGAGUCUUUUGGAAAAAACCAAUGGUUAUCGAUGGUGUCCUGCGGAUCUCUCCUGAUGAUGUGUAGCUAAAUCUCCGUUUUCUAGUCGAAUGUCAAUUUGAGGACUCGAUUCCAAACAUAUUUGAUAAGAGAAUAUUUAAUGUACAUUUUGUACAAGUUUGGCAUGAACUUUUGAUGUGUUUUGAGAAGAUUAAAGCCAUAUUUGAACUCUUUUGGUGAUAAAUGCUUAAAUAUUAUGUAAGUGUUCAAAACUUGAUAAAUGAGUGGAUUAAUGCGUUAAUUUUGUGAAAUUGUGAAGGAUAUUGAUAUAUGAAAUUCAUGCACGAGAUGAAGGAAAUGUAAGGAUCGUCUAGAGGAUAAAGUACAAAAGAAACUAGGAGCAAAAAUGAAGAAAAAGGAAAGAAGUGAAAAACUGGAAAUUGAUCAGCACAGAUUUGAGCUCGGAUCCGUGUGAACAAAGGGCGAUCCGAGCCCUCGUCUGCACUUCUGGAGCAGUGCAUCCGAGGCCAGACAAUCUGAGCUCGGAUUAUUAAGAGAAAGACCUCGGAUCAGCCUUGAUCCGAGCUCAGAUCGUAGUGCACACCUCGGAUCCAGGUCUCGGAUCUGCCUCUCUUCUGCAAGUGGCACGGCCGUUUUUUCUCAUUUUCACACAACUUUCCAGCUAUCUUGGGUGAGAGAAUUCGAUGGCACAUGCUUCUGCAACAAAAGGGAAGACAAAAUGAGUUAUUGAUAAGUCAAAACAACAUUUCUUUUGACUUUCUUUACAAAAUCUGAGUUGUUGGAAUCAUGAAGGAGAAGAAAGUGCCUUUCUACCACCUUUUAUGCAGAGAACUAAGGAGAAGUCAGGCAUCACCAUAUGGAGGAGUUUUUCAUCUUGUAACAUUUUUCUCUCUAGCUAGAAGUUCUAAAAACAAGCACUUGGAGAUUUCACUUGUAAUCAUCUUGUACAAGACAUAGCAAAAAUUUGAGGGUUUCACCAUUAAUUGGCUAAGCUUUUCUUUAUCUUUCUUGUACUUGUACUUUAUGAUGUUUUGCAUUAAUAAACUUGUGAGUUUGAUUGUUAUAUUAUUCAUGAGUAGCUAAAUUUCUUUAUCUAGAGAGUAGAUAAAUGAUAUGAAUUGAAUGUGAUUUACACUUGUUAUAUCUUGUAUUAACUUGUCUAUUUGUGCAGUUGUAAUUACUUGUUGUUGUUUGAUCACCAAUAGCAUGUUUAUAGUUGUUAUUAGUCAAUAAGAAUUGGUAGUAACAAUAGAAAAAAUAUGAGUAGAGCUUGAGUUGUAUGUUCAUGAAAAUAGAUGUACACUUAAGUGGAUUAGCUAGCAUUUCAUGAAGGAAAACAGAGUAGAACUGGUAGUUCACCAUGAAAAUAGGGAAAACUGGAUUACUCUAGGCCAUUUUAUCAUGAGAAUGAGAUUUGGCAAUAUUGAAAAUGAAUCCCUGGUUAAACAACAAUAAUAACAAGAGGUAAAUCUAUUCAUUUGUGUUGUUUAUACCAUAAGUGGAAUCUACAUCCCUAGAUUUAUUCUUGAGUGAAAUUUAUCCAUUUGCAUUUAGCAUUUGUUAAACUAGAUUUAUAGACAACAACAUUAUAAUUUCUCUGCUCAAAUUCAUUUAUAAGUCUAAAUAAUAGAGAAAAUAAGGGCCUAGUACUUAUUUAAAUUGCUCCUCGUGGGAUCGACUUGAUACAUACCUUACAUUACGAUUUCGACCUGUAUAGUUGCAGUCAACGGGUAUAAAAUCGAAUUCAAACUUGCAUUGAUAUAAAAAUCCCGUCACAUAUGUGAGAUCGAAUUAUUUUACUUAUUUCUUUUAUUCAUUGGUAUUUGUACAUUUUCUGAUUUAACUUCAUAUACUUGUUAUGUUAUUUGAAUGUCAAGGGCUCGAUAUUCGAAUUAACCUAAUAAUCUACUGUUAGAUUAAUUGAUUGAAUCCCUAAUUGUUCAAUUGAUUAAUACCAGUGGCAACUAGCGUGAUUAGUUUCAUGUUAAGGAAACAUAUGAUCUAACUUAAACGAACCCUCGUAGCGUGUUUGUUAAUUAAGGUUGGCUUUUCUAAUUCUUAUUGCAAUUGAGAAAUUAAAUCCUAUAGUCGUACCUAGGGUUAUUUCUUGGUUAGAAAAAUAGUUAAUGGUCGUACCUUAACUAUCGAAAAAGUAAGAAAAGAUUGGUUGUUUAUCGCGUGUAUAACAACUAUAACCAAUCUAUUAAUUAGUAAUUGAAUUAUCUUUGCAUCGAUGAUCAGUUGAAAGGACCAUGUCUGAAAAGUUGCACCUUUGGCUAGAGUUGUAUUGGUUAUUGAUUAAUUCCUGUUUAUUUCUAUUAGUUGUUUCAUUAGUUGAUUAAUUAGUUAUUUUAUAUUUUUCAAAAACCCCCCAUACUUCGGACUCUGGAAGAAAUGAAUUAUCCCCAAUCCCUGUAGAUUCGACCCUGCUCACCGCUAUAUACAAAUUUGUAUUUUUCUUGAGUAGGUAAUUAUUAUUGCACAUGUUCAACACCUGUCAUUCUAUAACUGUAUACAGAGUCAUCUUUUUCAAAGAUUUCCCAUGCUGCAAAAUGUACUCUACGAGCUUUAUUUCACCCUGUUCCUGAAGAGUUUGCUUGAUCCGAUAUACCCGAAUGGGAUGGUUAUUUCUUUCACAAAUAAUUAUGAAUUUGUAGACAGGGCAAGUAGGGUCGUAUCCACAGGGACUGGGUAUAUUUGUUUCUUAAGAAAUCCAAAAUAACAUAGGGGGGUGAUUUUGUAGGAACGACGACAAUAAAAUAAAUUCAAUUAAGAAAAUAAAAAUAAAUAACUAAUUAGAGAUUAAACAACAAUUCACUGAACUUAGAGUAAUAAUAAUUAAAGGCCUAAAUCAAUUAAAACAAGGAAGCAAUUAAAAAUAAAAUAAAGUAGGCAACUAAAAGUCAAAUGGCAAUUCACUGAAAUCAAGAUAAUAUUAAUUAAAGAUCUAUCCAAGAAAUAAUUUCAGCAAUGGUGCACCUAAUUGAUCAUUGAAGCAAAGGCAAUUCCAAUUAUUUAUCAAUAAAUAGGUUAUAACUACCAAACAAGCGAUGGCAGUCAACCCCUCCUUAUUGUGUCGGUGAUCAAGGUACGCCCGUUAACCACUAGUCUAAUUGAGAAAUAACCUUAGGUACGCCCGUAAGAUUUAAUUCCCCAAUUGCCUUACGUAUUAGAGGAGCCCUAUUCUAACCAAAUAACACACUACCAGAGUUAUUUCAGAUUAGCCCGCGUAUCCCCCUGACAUGAAUCUAAUCGUGCCAGUUGUCACUAUUUUAGGACAAUUAAACAAUUACGGAUUUAAUGCCCUAAUUGACAAAUGAGUACCAAAUCAAUUAAUUAUCUGGAUCCAAGACAAUCAAUUAAUUAAAUAACCAUAGGCAUAGUAAUUCAGGAAUAUACGAAUACCAAUAAAUAAAAGGGAAAGACUAAAAUUAAAUCGAUCUCACAAUUUUAGGCAAACCAAAGCCUCCGUUGUCCCUCGGUUAGAUUGAGAAAAUUAGCUCAUGUUCGAUGCGAAAAACCCACAAGAAAUUGUAAAGAGAGCCGCGGCCAUUGUCCCUUGAAAUUGGGGAAAUUCAAUUCGGUUCCAAUCAAGAAGGGAGGCAAGCUACAGAAAGUUAUCAAUUCAGUUUUGCUUGUCUCCCACAUACGAAGGGAAAAACUACUCUAAGAACCAGGGAAGAAAAGUCAAAAGUAAAGCUAUCCCCCUUUUCUCCUGACAUGCGCAGGAGAAGUCCUAAUCAAAAGCUUCAAAAGGAAGAAAAAAAUCUCAUGCUAAGCUAAAGCUAUCCGCCCCCUUCUUCUGUGCAGUUUUUUUCUUAUAUAGUCAGGCUCCGUGCGGCGGCUCCAGGGAGAAGAACGCUUUUGCCAAAAUGACCAAAAAGGCUCAUGUCCCUUCUUCCAAAAAUGCCCUUGCAAGCCUUCUAUUUAAUUUCUUUCCCGAUGACUGUCAAAGUGGCAUUGAUUGUGGUAUUUUUGAUCUACUCUCUGAAAUAAAUGCAAAUUAAGAAAAAUGAAUAGAAUCCAGCAAUUAAUCCACAUCAAGUCAGGUAAUAGGGGAAAUUAAUAAUAAAAUAAAUGAUAAAAUUGCAACCUAUCAUUAAGUAACAUUAGGAUGAUUGCUAUUUAAUUAAAAUUGUCCCACGGUUUAAUUUUGGUGAAGAACUUUUGCUUCUUUUGUUUCUAAAUCAUCAACACUGUGAUCCGUAAGUGGUAACCUUGGGGCUCAUAGAGAGAUGUUCUGCUAGUUCAAAUGGUUACUCUUUAACUCUUCUGUAUUGUCCAAACACUCAUUAAAUUCUAACAGCCAUUCCUUUUCAUUGUAAUGAUUGAUAUGAUUUUGCAACCUGGCAAGCUCUUUUUGAAGCUCAUGCUUUGUUAUAUCCUCAUGCAACAUUUUAGCUUUCACCUCAAAUUCUAUAGUAUUAGGCCUGAGAAUCCACACGUUCCACAACAUGUUAAGAGGAACAUCUUUGUCUGUUAUUUCAAAGUUGUGUGUGAAUUUUAAUAAUUAUGUUUGUGUCAAUAACUUGAUUAACCUAGAAGGAUUUUUUUUCAUGUUGGGUCAACUUGAUCUUCACAAAACUCCCUAUUAAUUAACCCUCAAACUUCUCAGGGGCCUUUGCAAGAUCCUCAACUAGAGUUCUUCUUAAAUAAAUAAGAUUAAUGUUUUCUUGAAUGAAUAUAGAAGAAUGACUUCUAGGAGUUCUUAAACCUGUAGUCUUUUGGUGUUAUUCCAUGCAUAGCAUCCUCAUCAAGUAAUUGUCAGUAUAUAGGCUUUUAGUUUUGUUAGGUGUUUGAAUGUUUCGUGCAUAAACUGUGCCAUUUAACUAGCUAAUAUAAUAAUGAAUAGCAAUUUACGAUUUUUAAAUUAACUUUAACUCUAUAAUUUGUUGCAAAAAUAUAUAUUACUCUAGAGUGAAAGUGUUGGGAAAGGGGUACCAGUAUAGGUACAAAAUAUCAGAGUUAGCCCAAGAUAAAUUUCUCUUUCCCCAAAUACCAGUUAAAAUAGGAAUAAACCAAAUCACCAAAUAAUAAUACCAGUAGUGAUAAUAAAAUGAAAGGAAAAAUAAAAGGCACAGGACACCAAGAUUUUUACGUGGAAAACCCAAUUGGGAAAAAUCACGAGACCUAAUCCAGUCAAAAACUUCACUAUCACAAUAAUGGGAAUACACAGGUCUAUCCGAAAUAUUCGGAUGAUAAUAAUAUCACCAAUACCAACCAAGCCAAUCUACUAUAAAAUCACCCCCAAAAACUACAACUGUCAAAGAAGUGAAUUUGGAAAGAUGUUACCAAACGAAGAGGAAAUCUAAAAUCUGAACCGAUACAUGAGUAGAGCUUGUCGAGAGGAUCACGUGUUUAAAAUUUCGUCUCAAUCGGGUUUCGAAUCGCCCUCCAAUCAAGACCUUGAAGUCUCUCUCUCUCUAGCCUUUCUCUCUCUUCGUCUCACUCAAGGAGGUGGCGACUGACCUUUUUUCUUCACACGAAAAUCGAAGAAAAGGAAUCAUUUCUUGCGGCUGCUGCUGCCUUUUUUUUUAUAUCACUUGAGAAACCCUCAAGUGUUAGUUAUGUGGGUUGGCCCACAAAUGGGCUGGCCCACGACAUCAACAAUCUCCCCCUCCAGCUCAUUUGGGGGGCUCCAUCAAGCCUGCUUCUUGUUUGCAAAACAAGAGUUUCUCCUUAGGCAAUGCUUUGGUAAACAUGUCAGCACCAUUAUCAUCUGUAUGCACUUUCUCAAGUGUCAACAACUUGGAAUCCAGUACUUCCCGAAUCCAAUGAUAUCUCACAUCAAUAUGUUUGGAUCGAGAGUGAAAUGUGAAGUUCUUACACAAAUGAAUAGCGCUCUGACUGUCACAGUAAAGACUAUACUUGUCUUGUUUCAUACCCAACUCCUGAAGGAAUUUCUACAACCAAAGAGUCUCCUUACAUGCUUCAGUAGUUGCAAUAUACUCUGCCUCCGUAUUAGAAAGAGCGAUACACUUCUGUAGCUUACUUUGCCAAGACACUGCUCCCCCUGCAAAAAUCAUUAAGUACCCAGAUGUGGACUUCCUAUUUUCAAGAUCACCUGCCAUAUCUGCAUCAGUGUAUCCAUCUAGCAUAGUUUUACCAUUGCCGAAACAUAGACACAAUCUAGGAGUUCCCUUGAGAUACCUAAGAAUCCAUUUGACAGCAUUCCAAUGCUCCUUACCAGGAUUAGAGAGAUACCGACUGACUAUUUCAACUGCAUGAGCAAUAUCUGGUCUGGUGCAAACCAUAGCAUACAUCAAGCUACCAACGGCCGAAGCAUAAGGAACCUUUUUCAUGUCUUCUUUAUCUUUCUCACUUGUAGGACACUGCUUGAUAUUCAGUUUAAAGUGACCUGCAAGUGGAGUUGAGACUUCCUUAGCAUUGCUCAUGUUAAACCUGUUGAGCACUUUCUCAAUGUAUUUUUCUUGAGACAACCAAAGCUUCCCAUUUUGCCUGUCUCGUGAGAUUUUCAUCCCCAAUAUCUGUCUAGCCGGACCCAAAUCUUUCAUUGCAAAGGAUUUACUUAACUCCUUUUUCAACCUGUCAAUCUUCACAGUAUCAAGACCAACAAUCAACAUGUCAUCAACAUAUAAUAAGAGAAUAACAAAAUCACCAUCUGAAAGGUUUUUCACAUAAACACAGUGAUCAGAUGUAGUCCUGUGGUACCCAUGGUCUGUCAUGAAGGAAUCAAACUUCUUAUACCAUUGUUUCGGUGCCUGUUUCAACCCAUACAAGCUCUUCUUGAGACGGCAUACAAGAUUUUUCUUGCCACUUUCUCUGAACCCCUCCAGUUACUCCAUGUAGAUCUCCUCUUCCAAGUCGCCAUGCAGGAAGGCUGUCUUCACAUCAAGUUGCUCGAUCUCCAAAUUCAAACUGGCUGCAAUACCAAGAACAACUCGAAUUGAGGACAUUUUUACCACAGGAGAGAAGAUUUCUUCAAAAUCUAUACCUUUCUUUUGACUGAAUCCCUUCACAACCAAUCUUGCUUUAUACUUUGGUUGUGAGGUGUGCUCCUGAGUUUUCAACCUGUAAACCCAUUUGUUCUUUAGAGCUCUCUUACCCUUAGAUAGUUUCACUAAAUCAUAAGUAUGAUUCUUAUGCAGGGACACCAUUUCCUCUUGCAUGACUCGCAACCAAUCUUCUUUGUUCUCAUGCUCUAAAGCCUCACAAUAUGACUCAGGCUCUCCUCCAUCUGUUAACAACAAAUAUUCAUGAGGAUUAUACCUGCUAGAAGGUCUCCUCUCUCUGGUAGAUCUCCUAAGCUCAUCUUGUGGUGGCGGUGGUGGUGUAGGUGGCUCCUCAUGUUCAGAUUCAUCAGCAGUAGGAUUAUUACCAUCAUUAAUAUCCUCUCUCUGCUCCGCCUCAGCUCCCCCUUGAUUAAAAUCAACAGGUACUGAAAUUGGAUCUGGAUCUGAAUUUGAGCUAGCAGGAAUGUCAUCUGAGAAUUUUGAGUUGUCACUUUUAUCAAUGUUUUCAAUGGUUUGAUCUUCAAAGAAGACAACAUCUCUACUCCUGAUCACUUUCUUCUCAAUAGGAUCAUACAACCUAUAACUAAAAUCUUCAAUUCCAUAAUCCAAGAAAAUGCAUUGCUUUGAUUUUACAUCAAGUUUUGACCUCUCAUCCUUGGGAAUAUGAACAAAUGCCCGGCAACUGAAAACUCUCAAAUGCUUAAAUGACACAUCUUUUCCUGUCCAUACCCUCUCUGGGAUAUCACCAUCCAGAGGGACUGAUGGAGAAAGAUUUAUCAAAUCAAUUGCAGUCCUCAUUGUCUCACCCCAAAAGGGUUUUGGCAAUUUAGCAUUAGAGAGCAUACAUCUAACCCGCUCAGUGAUGGAUCUGUUCAUCCUCUCUGCUACUCCAUUCUCUUGAGGAGUUUUCGGUACAGUUUUCUCCAAUCUGAUUCCAUGGGACUUGCAAUAGAUUUCAAAUGGUUCUCUGUACUCACCACCAUUAUCAGCACGUACACACUUUAACUGCUUACCAGUUUCUCUUUCAACUUUGCUAUGAAAGUCUUUAAACACAUCCAAAACCUGAUCUUUGGAUUUCAAAGUAAAACACCAAACCUUUCUAACAAAGUCAUCAAUAAAAGUAACAAAAUAAAUAGCACCACCAAGAGACUUAUCUUUCGUAUAGCAAACAUCAGUGUGCACCAAUUCUAAAACAUUUAAUUUCCUAGAUGGAGGAAAAUUUUUGAAUGCAACUCUGUGUUGUUUUCUAUAAAUGCAGUCAACACAAGGUUUAAGUGCAUUACCUCUAAUUUCAGGUAGGAGCUGUUUGCGAACAAGUGUCUGAAUCCCCUUUUCACCCAUGUGUCCAAGUCGCCUAUGCCAAAGGUCAAUUGAGGAAUCACGAACUGCGUUCACUUCUCCCUUCCUCAACUUGGCAUGCAUCACGUAGAGGGUACUGUACUUCUUUUCUCUGGCAACAACGAGAUUUCCUUUGCUGAGUUUCCGUUUGCCUCCACCUUGCGAGCUAUAGUAGCCCUUAUCGUCCAGUUUUCCUAUAGAAAUAAAGUUAAGUCGAAUAUCAGGAACAUGUCGAAUAUUUCUCAAUAUCAGCUGACACCCGGUAUCUGUGUCCAAGUAUAUGUCUCCCAUGCCAACAACUUUGCAUGAGAUCUCAUUUCCCAUCCCAACACAUCCGAAAUCUCCUUCGUUUUAGGUUGAGAAGAAAUGCCUGUGAGAAGUAACAAGGUAGGAUGCACCUGAAUCAACUACCCAAUCACUGUCAUAGUGAAUAAUAUUCACCUAACCAUCAUCACAGAACACAAACAUGUCAUCAUGAGCUGCCACAACUGCUGUAGUAUCCUCAUUAUCUUUUUCCUUCGCCUUACCCUUUUUCUCAGCCUGAUCCCGUUUUAGGAUUCUACACUCCUUCAUAUAAUGUCCAUUCUUUUUACAAUAAUAGCAUGCAACAUUUUUUCGCGACUCAGAUCUGUCUCUGGAUUUGUCAUUCCUGUUGUGGGGUUCUCUACUUUUGUUUCUUCCUCUUCUUUCUUUCUUUUCUGUCACCAGGGCCUGGGACUCAUAGACAAUUCCUUGUUCCUUCCUCCUGAAGUCUUCAUUCAUCACGGCCUCUUUUGCAAUAGUCAUGGUCAACACACCAUUCGGAGCUGAAUUACUGAUGGAGACCACCAUGGUUUCCCAACUAUCCGGUAUUGAACUGAAUAAUAAUAAAGCCUGCAUUUCAUCAUCCAGAUUCAAAUUUAAUGUAGUUGCCUGGUUUAUCAAUCCCUGAAAGUUACUCAAGUGUUCAGUCAUAUCUUCCCCAUUCUUAUAUCUCAUUCGAGUAAUCUGCUUCAGACAACUAGUCUUUCUUUCAUACAUACUCUCAAGCCUUUUCCAUAAUAUAUCAGCUCUGGUGUCAUUAGCAAAAUGUUGAAAAAUACUUUGACCAAUCCAUUUUCUAAUAUUACCAACAGUUUUCCUGUACAUAUUAGCCCAUUUUUCAUCACUCAUAUCACUUGGUUUACAUUUAUCCCCUAGAACAAGUUCAAACAAAUCUCUACAAUACAGGUAGUCUUCCAUUCUAGGCUUCCAAAUCAAAUAGUUAGUAGCGUUCAAUUUUAUUAUGCAACCACUAUCCGAAUCAUCCAUUUUUUAACAGGUACAAUUGAGCAGUCCAACCUGACUGCUCUGAUACCACUUGUUGGGAAAGGGGUACCAGUAUAGGUACAAAAUAUCAGAGUUAGCCCAAGAUAAAUUUCUCUUUCCCCAAGUACCAGUUAAAAUAGGAAUAAACUAAAUCACCAAAUAAUAAUACCAGCAGUGAUAAUAAAAUGCAAGGAAAAAUAAAAGGCACAGGACACCAAGAUUUUUACGUGAAAAAUCCAAUUGGAAAAAAUCACGGGACCUAGUCCAGUCAAAAACUCCACUAUCACAAUAAUGGGAAUACACAGGUCUACCCGAAAUAUUCGGAUAAUAAUAAUAUCACCAAUACCAACCAAGCCAAUCUGCUAUAAAAUCACCCCCAAAAACUACAACUGUCAAAGAAGUGAGUUUGGAAAGGUGUUACCAAACGAAGAGAAAAUCUGAAAUCUGAACCGAUAGAUGAGUAGACCUUGUCGAGAAGAUCACGUGUGUAAAAUUUCGUCUCAAUCGGGUUUUGAAUCGCCCUCCAAUCAAGACCUUGAAGUCUCUCUCUCUCUAGCCUUUCUCUCUCUUCGUCUCACUCAAGGAGGUGGCGGCUGACCUUUUUUCUUCACACGAAGACUGAAGAAAAGGAAUCACUUCUUGCGGCUGCUGCUGCCUUUUUUUUCAUAUCACUUGAGAAACCCUCAAGUGUUAUUUAUUUGGGUUGGCCCACAAAUGGGCUGGCCCACGGCAUCAACAGAAAGUAUGUUAAAAUUGGAAAAAAAAUUGAUAAACAUAUUCAUAUUAAUGGUUUUUGGAAAUUUACCUCCUCAAUUAUCUAUAAAUAUGAAAAUUGUUGUUUAAUGUCUGUAAUCUAUCAUAUCUUUAUCUAAUAUUCGUAUAUUUGAUUGAAAUUUAUUCAAUCACGUAUACCAUCAAUCUAGUGGCAUUUAAAACAAGAAAGUGUAUAACUACUCAAACAGUACGGUGUUAUUUGAUAUAGUAUCCAAAAAAUGCAUCUAUUUCAUAAAUUUAAUUUUUCAACAAUAUUAAAUAGUUCUCCUAUUUGAGUUUCGCUAUAUGAGUUGUAUUAGCACUUCUCAUAUCAAGUGCUAUGCUUGUUCAUGUUUUGAAUUUGUAGGUCAUAACGCAUAAGCAUCAGCUCGUCUGGCCUCUCUUGCUGUACAGGAUUCCAUUCUUUAGUAAGGAUAUUUCCAUCAGUGCUCCUCUUCAAGUCAUAUUUUGUAGCACCAUUAUAUGUCUGACUAAGAAUUUGAAUGGAAAAUUGUUGGACGCCAGAGUGCAAUUGGUCAGUCACAGGCAAGGCCUACCUUUUCUCCGAGUUGCAAAGGUGAUUAGAGCACCAUCCAUUUUUAAAUAUCAGUUUCUGCUUUGUCCACCGAGUCAACUGAUACGAAUUCUAGGUAUUCUUGUAAACUUUUGUCUUUUUGCUGGUGAACGGAUUUGCUUUAUUAUAUUUCUACAAUCUGCUUGUCCUUGAAAUUUUACCUGUUGAUCUUUUCCCUUGCACUUUUAUCCACUAUUAUGCUACAUGUAAUUCAAUGGUUGAAAAUUAUAGAGUAUGCUUCAACCUUACUAGUGUUUUGAUAUUUGCAACAAACUAAUGAAUGAUUGAUGCAUGGUAGUUGGAGUUAAAAAAGGAACGCUUGCCAUCUCUUCGGUGUCUAAUUUUGGUGCUUUGUUAUUUGGCCAACCAUUUGCUAACAGACAAAACUUGGUAUAGAGACAAUUCAAAUUCUUGGAAUUUUGACACCUCUUUAUUCGACAGACAGUUAAGGUGAUUAUAAUUCUUAUAUGUUUGCUAUUAUUGAAAGAAUGAGCUACAUUUUCCAGUAUCCAGUGGUUUCAUUGAUGGUACGAGAUGUUUUGAGUAUUCCUGUUACUACUGGCUUUAGAGUCUACUUUCAGCAUUGAUGGUCAGAUUAUCAACAAAUACUGAAGUACCAUCUUGAGAUCUUCAUGUGGUCUUCAAAACAGUUGAAAGAAACAUUUUCUACAAGUUCUCUUGUUUAAAGACCAAAUUCUGUAGAAUUAAGAAAAGGAUUUGUGAACUUGAACUUGAACUUGGGCAGUCUAACCAGGUAAUUGAUGGACAAAACUGUGUAAUCUCUAAGAAGUUUCAGAAUAAUCAGAUGGCAUGCAUAAUUCUUGUGGCAGUUUUUGCUUGAUACGGUGUCUCUUUAAUUACUUCCAUUGUUUCCUAUUUCUCUAACAUAUGUACAUUGAUAAGUUUGUUAAAUGCAACCAUUGGGAUUGACCCAAUAGUCAGGGGAAAACUCUUGAAGUUUUCUUUGUUACAAGAUUCAGAAUUCGAACUUUUUGCCUGGUAGUUGAGGUUAGGAAGGGUAUGGGGAAAGAUGGGAAGGGAAAAAAAAGAUAAGUAUGUUAAAUGCACUUAUAUAAUAAAUAUAAGUAUGUUGAUGGUGCAUUUAUAAUCUACUAAAAAGGCACAUAUUCUACUAGAAAAAGCACGUGCGCUACACUUGAUUUUGCUAAACAAAAUAAAAGUAUGUGCUAAGCAUAUAUGAUAUAAGGAUUGAUCUUAUUUAUGGAGAUUUCGUAAAUAUUCUAUUUCAGAAGUAAAAAAUUAAACACAAUCGGAAUUUUCUUUUUUCUUUUUCAAAAUUAGAUGUAGUUAUUAAUUCAGAUCUGGCAUGUACACAAUGAAAACUAAAGGAUGGUAAAACCUGAUAUUGAUGACUUACACACGUUUAUAUCUCUGCUCCUAUUUCUUGAAAUGCUUAGCUGUACAAAUUGUGGGAGUUUCAACAUGUCAAGCUGAUGUUUAAGAGACUAGUAUGUAGAAAUUGUUAGUUGCUCAAAUUUGUAUUUGAUACUACAGUUAUUCAAAGUUAUUAAUUGUAAUGUGCCUUUUCGUGAUCCCCCUAAGUUCCCACAUCAAUUUGUGGCCAACCGUUAGAUUUGGGGCAUUAUGCUUCCACAUUGGGUGAGUUUGGACCGGUGGUGCUAUGGUUCAAAAUAUGCAAGGGAAUACAAGAGCUAAGUGUUUUAAUCCCACGUCAAAUGGGAAGAAAUGAAAAGGAUUGGAAAAUAAGCUCAAGGUAUAUGGGGUAAUAAUAAAUUGGUUAAUGACCUUUUUGCUGAGGUUUCUGUCCAGAAAGUCAUUGGGUUGGUGCUUAGACAUAGAGCAUUACACUUUUCUUCCUACCAAUGCCUCAAAUCUAAAUUAAAUUUGUGUCUAAGAAGAUUUUGGAAAAAGUUCUGACUCAGAACAUUUAUUUUCAUGAUGAACUAUAUUGCACAUUAGUAGAAGAAGAUUUUGGAAAAGUUUCUGACUGAGAGCAUCUAUUCCCAUGACAGACUCUGUUAAUUUAGUGUCAGAAAUGAUGUGGUAAUCCAAAUCCGGCAUAUAUAUAGGCUAAUUUUUGCUAGGCAUCUACUAAAGUGAUUUGAUGAUUUUGAUAGAUCCCUGCCGACUAUUCAUUUUAAAAAAGGCUAGGUUAGUGAACUCAUCUAUUUUCCAUUUUAAGGGCCUCCUUAAGUAGUCUUCUUUAGUGCAAUACUUAUCCAGAAGUGCAUGAAAUUCAAUACUUAUUAUGCAAUCUGUGUUAUUAUUUUAAGUCUGUUGUAAAUUUUUGUUUUAAAGAUCAUAAAUGUUUGGUGCAUGAAUAAUAUAUUGAUUUGGCAAUAUUUAGAUUUUCGAAGUUGGCAUUUCACUUUAAAAUGUUUUGGAGAAUUCUUGUUGCAUUGCUUGAAAAACUUUGCUAUAAAAAAGAUUGUUUUGUGUCUAUUGAUCACUCCAAGGAUUGUAAAGUAUGCCUCCUUGAACUUAUGUUAUGAAUCUCAAGGACUGAAGUGGAAAGAAACUUUUAGUUCAGGGGGGAAAUUGUAAUUCAAUUGCUUUUUGACUAAUAAGAGUAGAAUUGGUUGGGCAGGAAAAGUAGCUAGCAAGGAAUAACCAACAUUGCUGACGUGGCCAGUUUGUUAGAAAGUAUUUACGGGAAUCAACUUGCUGUAUGUACUAGAUGGCCAACAGAAGAAUGUAGGCAAUGAGUUGUACCAUUUUCUUUUUCUUGGAUCUGAAUAAACUCUCUUUCUCUCUCUUCUUCUUACUGUCUCAUUUCCUUCCUUCUCUUUUCUUCCGGCUCAAGACAUAAAACUAUUCUUGGGAGACGAGAAUUUUUUAGGAGCACUGGUGACUAGUCUUGUGGGGAGAAAAACAACGAGCCUGUCCUCUUUGUCUUUUUUUUUUCUUUCGUUUUCUAUUUUACUGGAUGCUUAUGCAAUUUACUUCAAUUAAAUUGUGUUGCUUGAUCCCGAUGAUGUGCAACUAAAUUUUCCAUUUCUAGCCAAGGAAUAACGUGGAUUUGGGUCAUCAACAAUUGUGAGAUCUAACUAUUUUUAUUUUUUUCUUUUAUUCGUUAGCAUUCGUAUAUUUUCUGGUUUAAUUACUCAUGGGUGUUAGUUGUUUGAAUAUCAAAAGCAUAUAUUUAAAUCAAGCUAACGAACUAUUGCCAGUUAAGACAGUUUGGCAGUUAGGAAUUAAUCAAAGAGAUGGCUGAGAACUCCCAACAGUUUGGCACAAGAGAGGACGUUUCAAGUUAUCGUGUGAAUGAGGUGAGCAUUUCAUCGAUGCAAGAGCAAUUGGUUGAGUUAAUUUCUAUGUUUCGCCAAAUAGCAAUGGGGAAGGUGCAACAAGUCAAGAAAUGUGAAAUUUGCAAGGAUGUAAACCAUCCCACCGAUGAAUGCCUAAUGCUACAAGAUGAUAACACAAAACAAGUAAACAUGGGUAGGUACGUACCCGUGCCCUGUAGGCAGUAUAACCCUUACUCCAACACAUAUAAUCCGGGUUGGAGGGACCACCCAAACUUUAAUUAUGGGGGAAAUAAGCAAAAUUUGGUCCCCAAUAGACAGCAAGGGUUUCAGCCACGACAAUCAUCAAGACCCCAACCCUCUUCAUCUCAUUUGAACACGUCUCUUGAAGAUAUAGUCAAGACGUUGGUCGCUAAUACCUUGCAAUUUCAAUAGAAGACAGAGGCAAGCAUACAAGAUCUCAAAACUUAGAUAAGUCAGAUGGCCUUUUCGAUGAACCGUCUGGAGUUUCAAGGGCAAAGAAGACUACCUUCUCAACUUGAGGUGAAUCUAAAGAACAUAAAUGUCAUGACCCUCAAAAGUGGAAAUGAAGUUGAAGGGCCAAAACCUAUAGUUCCUAAGGACAAGAGCAAAGAUCAAAUUGAAAAGGAGUUGAAAGAAGAAGGAAUAAGCAAGCUAACUCCUGAGGUAAUUUCAACCUCUUUAUUUAAAACUAAUACUAACCUACCACCUUUCUCUAGUAGGUUGGAGAAGCCAAAAAUGCAGGAUAAGAAGAAGGAGAUCUUAUAGGUGUUCAAGAAGGAGAAGAUAAACAUCCCUCUAUUGGAUGCAAUUAAGCAAGUGCCCAAAUAUGCCAAAUUUCUAAAGGAUUUAUACGUCGAUUGAAAGAAAUUGAGAGGCGAUGAAAGAAUUGUGAUGAGGGAGAAUGUUUUAGCUGUGUUACAAAAGAAACUUCCACCCAAAUGUGAAGACUCAAGUAUGUUUUAUAUCCCUCAUCGUAUUGAAAAUACUAAGACCAGAAAGACUAUACUAGAUCUAGGAGUUUCCAUUAAUGUGAUGCCGAAAAAUAUCUAUACCUCCUUAAACCUAGGACCUUUAAAGGAAACAGGCAUUAUAAUUCAGCUAGCCGAUCGGACUAAUGCAUAUCCUGAUGGAUUAGUUGAAGAUUUUUCAGUUCAGAUUAAUGAAUUAGUAUUUUCAACUAACUUUCAUUUGCUUUACAUGAAUGAUAAGCGUUCACUAAAUUCAUCACCUGUUAUACUAGGGAGACCCUUUUUGAGUAUAGUCGAAACAGAAAUAAAUGUCAAACAGGGCACACUUACAAUGAAAUUUGAUGGGGAGGUGAUCCAUUUCAGUAUAUUUAAAACCACGAAAUACCUAUCUGACUCCCAUACUAUUUUUGCCAUGAGUGUAAUUGACCCUGUGGUAUAGAAAAUUUUUGAGAUUGAUGACAGGGAUGAACUAGAAGUUGUUCUCACCAAAUAUCUUGAGUUGGGGACAACCUAUGAUGUGGCGUUGAGUGAGGAGUUGAAAUGCAUAGUUAGAGCACUACAGUCAAUGGCACCUACUAUAAUAAGGUAUGAACUUGCACUACUCUUUAUACCCGAUUCUAAUCAAAGGUUGCUACCUUCAGUGAUGCAAGCACCUGAAGUGGAAUUGAAAACCCUGCUGGGUCAUUUGAAGUAUACAUUCUUGGGUGAUAAAAAUAUUUUUCCAAUUAUCAUUUCUGCCACCUAAUCAAGAGGACAGGUUGAUCCGAAUCCUUAGGAACCACAAAGAGGUGAUAGGAUGGAUAAUAACUGACAUUAAAGGCAUAAGUCCCUCUGUGUGCAUGCAUAGAAUAUGGCAUAAAGAAGGUGCAAAGCCUGUAAGACAAGCACAUAGACGGCUAAAUUCCCUAAUGAUGGAAGUGGUAAAAAAGAAAAUACUCAAGUUUCUAGAUGUGGGGAUGAUUUAUGCCAUCUUUGAUAGCCUAUGGGUGAACCCAGUGUAAAUGGUUUCAAAGGAGGCAGGAGUCACAAUUGAAGUCAAUCAUGAUGGGGAGCUUGUUCUUGCUCACAAAUCAACGAGAUGGCGCCAGUGCGUCGAUUAUCGGAAACUAAAUGCAAUCACAAAAAAGGAUCAUUAUUCUCUUUCUUUCAUUGAUCAAAUCAUUGAAAAAUUAACUUAUCGUGGUUAAUACUGUUCUCUUGAUGAUUUUUUAGGGUAUUUUCAAAUUGGAAUAGUACUGGAGGACUAGGAGAAAACUCCUUUCACAUGCCCAUUCAAUACCUUCGUAUAUAGAAGAAUGCCCUUUGAAUUGUGUAAAACUCCCGCAACCUUUUAGAAGUGUAUGGUAAGUAUUUUCUCCGAAUAUGUUGAGAAAAUAAUAGAGGUCUUUAUGGAUGAUUCCGUGUCUAUGGUGAUUGAUAAGUGCAUAUUUUACGUGUUUUAAGUGUGUUUUAUUAGUUAGUUUUGGUGUGUUUUAUUAGUUAGUUUUGGUGUGUUUUAUUUAGUUUUAUAACUAAUUAACUAAGUUACUAGUGAAAAUAUGCAUUUUGUGGUUUAAAGUGUGAAAGUUGCAUUUCUGUGGAUUUUAAUGGUAAAAACUUCAUGUUUUUAUAGAUUUAAUGAUUCAAUCAUCAAAUACCAUGAAUUGAGAAGAUAAUUGGAUGAUUGAUGAUGGUUUGAAAUGAUAAAAAAGAGAAUAUAAAACGCAAGAGAUGAAAUGCAAUUAAAGGAAGUUUUCUAGCUUUGACACCUUGUGGUAUUUCGGGUAUAUCUUAAGUCACAAACAUUGGAUUGAGGUGAUUCUUGAACCAUUUUGAAGAUAACCAAUAGAUCUAUAUUUAAUAUGAGACAUCGAAGUCCAGUUCAAUUGUUUUCAUUGUCAAAAAAUUGAAAUAUAGAACUGCAUUUUCAUGAUCGAAAGGUGAAACAGAACUCUGACCAGUUAAGGGUAUUUUAGUUAUUUUUCGGUCCACAGAGCUCCAAAUUGGAUGAUUAUUGAGGCAUUGGAAAGCUAACUCAAAAGAUACAACUUUCAUGUUUUCCAUAAGAGCUAAUUUAGCCUCCAUCAUUGAGAAAAUAUCAGUUGAAAUUGGACAAAAAAUAGAGUCAAGAUGAAUUCUACCCAGAAAGUGCAAACCUGCAAAAGUAAUAACGCGUAGACAAUUCACAACCUAAGGUCGCUCCAAUUUCGGCUGCAACUUGCUCUUCAACUUGUGUUAUGUUCAAGCAAGCUUUUUGACCUAUUUUCUUGCAAGAAUUUUGGUGGAAAGUGACCAAGAUAGCUGCCAAAGAAGCUUUACAACUCAAAUCUAGCUUGUUUAUGGUCUUAAGAGGAAUCUUAACAUGAUUUAACACUUUGUCUUUUGCAUGGAAUUCCUCUAUAAAUAGCAAUCUUUGGAGACUAUUUUCACAACUUUGGAAGGCUAGAAAAAUUUCACAAAAAUGUAGUUUUCACUAGAGUUUUCUUAGUUCAUUAGUUAGGGUAGUAUAGUAUAGUUAGAAUAGUUUAUCUUUCUUGUAUUUAUAGUUUGAUUUGGAUGAAAAUUUGAAAAGCAAAGAUGGAGAGAUAGAACUCAUGUGACAGGAGUGAUUUCUCUCCUUUCCCUUUCUCUUUUGUAUUUAAGUUCAUGUUUAACUAUAAUACAAGUUUGGAUCUUGUUUUCAUGUUUUGCUAAAGUUUAUGCCUAGAGUUAUGGAUGAACUUUCUAUAUCUUGUUAGUGAUAUUUACUUGGUUAUUUGAUGAUAUUAUUUUGAACAAGUUAUUUAUCACUUUUGCUUAUUUAAUCAUGAUUAACCAGCCAUUAAUUGUGAUAAUCUUAAGGUGUUAAGUUUGCAAUGAGAAUUGAAUUUAACACUAGUUCAAGGAAGUGAUAAACCUAGGGAGUACACUCACGAGAGUAGAGGUGCACUUUUGUGGCUUUAGUGACUUGUUUCAUGUCAUUUCAUAGAAGAAAUAAACUUGUAGUUAAUUUCAUAAAUACGAGAGUAGGUACGGUUUAGCUAUAAGUAUAGUUGAUUCACCACGAGAGUAGGUUUCACAUACAUUAAGAAAUUACGCCAUAACUAGCCAAGAUAAUAGCAUUCACUUAACCGGUAACUUCAUUUGCAAGAAUAGUAAGGAAUUCCAUACCUCUAGGAGUUUCCUAUUGUAUUUUUGUUACUUUUAUAGUGUAGAUUUAAUUUAUUGCACUAGUGAUAGUCUAAAUAAUAAAGGAGUUCGAAAAACAUCGGUAAUUGAUAAUUUUCUCUGUGGGAUCGACACCUAAUACCCCUAUACUCAAUAAACAACUCGUAUACUUGCAAAAAAUCAUGUGUGGGGUAUUUAGGAUUUAUAAAUGUAAAAUUUGAUUGUGGAAUGAACUAAUUGUUAUGUGUAUACCCCGCGCUCGUCAGUGAUAGAUUUGAUGAGUGACUUAAGAAUUUGACUCUAAUUGUUCAAAGAUGCAUCAAAACUAAUCUUGUAUUCAAUUAAAAAAAAUGUCAUUCUAUGGUUGAGUACGGAAUAGUUCUAGGUCAUGUCGUAUCAUCUAAGGGUAUUGAAGUUGAUAAUGCAAAAAUAGACCUUAUAUCUUCCUUACCGUACCCCACUAAUCUGCGAAAAGUAUGUUCCUUUUUGGGACAUGUAGGUUUUUAUUGGAGAUUCAUCAAGGACUUCUAAAAACUUGGAACACCAUUGUUUAGACUCUUGCAAAAGGACGUAACAUUUAAUUUUGAUGAGAAAUGCAAGAAGGCGUUUGAUUGUUUAAAGGAGUUGUUGAUUUCCCCACAUAUCAUCAUAUAACAUCCAGACUGAAAUCUCCCAUUCGAGAUCAUGUAUAAUGCAAGUGACAGUGCAAUAGGGGCGUUACUGGGCCAAAGGACCGGAAAGGCUGCACAUGCAAUCUAUUAUGCAUCUAAGGCUUUGAAUGGAACUCAACUCAAUUAUACAAUCACAGAAAAUGAGCUUUUAGCAGUUAUUUUUGCUUUAGAAAAAUUUCGUUCUUAUUUAUUAGAAGAUAAAGUUAUUGUGUAUUCUGACUAUACAGCGCUAUGGUACUUGAUGACCAAGAAGGAUGCUAAACCAAAGUUGAUAAGAUGGAUUUUGCUUUUAUAUGAGUUCAAUUUGAAAAUUCAUGAUAAAAAGGGAGGAGAGAAUUUAGUUGCCGAUCAUUUUAGUCGAUUGCCUAUUGUUAAGGAUGAUUUUAUAUUGAGGAAAACUUUUCCUAAUGAGCAACUAUUUUUUACUAAUCCCUCUCGUCCUUGGUAUGCGGAUAUUAUUAAUUUCUUGACCACUAAUCAAUUGCUUGCACAUUGGUCGAAAACAAAAUGAGAUAAGCUCAAAUGUGAUGCUAAGUAUUACUUAUGGAAUGACCCCUAUUUAUAGAGGCAAUGUGCAGAUCAAGUACUGCGUAGAUGUGUAAUUGAGAGUGAAUUUAAUUUAAUUUUAACAUUUUAUCACUCUUAUGCAUGUGGAGACCAAUUUAGACCACAAAGAAUAGCUCGUAAAGUAUUAGAAAGCGAUUUUUAUUGGCCUACAAUUUUCAAAGAUACAUACUUGUUUUGUAUGUCAUGUUAUAGAUGUCAAAGGAUAGGAAAUAUUUCUCAUAGAAACUAGAUGCUACAAAUCCCUAUGAUUUUUUGUGAAAUUUUUGAUGCAUGGGGUAUUGAUUUUAUGGGUCCAUUUCCUUUGUCUUUUGGUUUCCUUUACAUUUUGUUGGCCAUAGAUUAUGUGUCGAAGUAAAUGAAAACAAAAACCACACGAACUAAUGAUUCUAAAGUGGUUGCAUAUUUCAUUCAAUCAUAUAUUUUUGUUCGUUUUGGGGUACCACGAAUUAUAGUAAGUGAUUGAGAAAAACAGUUUUGCAAUAAAAUGUUGACGGCUCUAUUUCGUAAAUAUGGAGUGACUCAUAAGGUAUUUACAUCCUAUCACCCCAAACGAAUGGUCAAGUGAAAAUUUCGAAUAGGGAAAUUAAAUAUAUAUUGGAGAAGAUGGUUCGUCCCGAUAGGAAUGAUUGGAGUUCAUAAUUGAACGAUGUACUCUGGAUUUAUAGGAUAGCCUAUAAGACUCCUAUAAGUAUAUCUCCCUAUAGGUUGGUAUUUGAGAAGCCGUGUCAUUCAUCGGUUGAGCUCGAGCACAAAGCAUAUUGGGGGAUCAAGAAAUGUAACAUGGAUCUUGAUGAGGUUGAAAUACACAGAAAACUCCAAUUACAAGAAUUGAAAGAGUUGAAGAAUGAUACUUACGAGAAUGCAACACUAUAUAAAGAGAAGAUUAAGGUUUUUCAUGACCAAUAAGUUGCAAGGUAAUCAUUUAUAGUUGGGCAAAGAGUUCUUCUCUAUCAAUCUUGUCUAAAGCUCUUGCUAGGUAAGUUGUGCUCUCGUUGGGUUAGUCCAUUUGUUGUGAUUAAUAUUUUUCACUAUGGUGCUAUGGAAAUUCAGAGUAUGCAGACAGAUAAGAAAUUUGUCGUUAAUGGCCAUCAUUUUAAACCCUAUUAUGAAAGUGUUUCAAUGGAGAAUGUGGAGAUAAUAAAUCUUGAAGAUCCCACUUAUGCUGCUUGAGCAAUAUUCGACCAUGUCUAACCAAAGAGGUUAAAAAAAGACGCUUAUUGGGAGGCAAUCAAAUUCUUUUUUUAUUGUUUGUUCACUAAUAUUAUGUGUUUCACUAUGUUUAUCUUAGGUUUUGGUAUUUUAAUUUUAAUUUUUAAUGUUUUAUUGGUUAGAAGACUUUCUCCCAACAAGACGUGCCCACGCCUUAAGGGUACGUGGUAAUGCACAAAUAUCCAAUUCCAUCAUCAGAAAACUAUGGACCAACAUAAUGUGCCCACGUCUUGAGGGUAUGUUGUAAUUCAUAAUUAGCCAACUUUAUCAUCAAAAGAGUUUCAACCAAUAAGACGUGCCCAUGUCUUGUCCUAGCAAGGGAAAAAAAACAAAUUGAACCCAAAAGAAUUUUUUUCUUUCCUUUGUCUUUUCCCUUUUCUAUUUCUUUUCCUUUCCUUCUUUCUUUCUUUGUUCUUUCUUUUUUUCUUUCUUUAUUUCGCUCUUUCUUUUCCCCAGCCGCACGGCCAAAACUCUAUUUGCUGCUUGCCUACCAUCCACUGUUGUUGCCAUUCGCUAGUUUGUCUCUGCUACCAUUGCUAUCAUCGCCGUUCGUCUAAGCCUAUCGCUGGUUUCGCCGUCGCCCGUCUCUAGUUUUGCCGUCGCUUGCUACUGUGCCAUUCACCGCUGCUCGCGCUGCCAUGAACGUCCAUCCUCUGCCAGCGACAGCCAUCGCUCCGCACUUUCUCUGUUGUCUUGUUUCUACUGACCCAAUUUUUGGUAUUCUUGUCCUUCUCUUUUAAAUAUUGUUGGGUUGCUACUUCGGAGUUUAUUAGAAUUUCUUUUUGCAGGGUUGAUUUAAUUUGUUGAUUGGGUAUUCCUCGAAUUGUUGGAUUGGCACUACCUGACAUCUGCUUGUUUUCUGAUGAUGACCACUAACUUGCACUACUAUUUUGCAUCCAUGGGGAUUCAAUGCUGAUUGGAGGUUAUAAACUGUGGUGAAAUUGCCGCUACUUACUUGCCAAUUGCUGAUUGUUGAUCUUGAUAGGGGGUAUUGUUCUUACAUUUCUUGUUUUGUUAUUAAAUAGUGUCACAUCUUUGGGCUCUUUACUGUACACUUUGAUUUGAGAUUGCUUGGCUAUCUUUAGUCGUUUGGCAUACAUUAGAGGCUUGUAUUUCGCCAUUGUCUGACGUUGUUUACUGCUAUUUUUGGAUUCAGUUAUCUAAAUGGCGAAGAAAAAAAAGACCACUAACGCCAAGACCCCUACGACUAAAACCACUCCCCCAUCCCAACCAACUAUACCCACGAUUGACCCUUCUCCGUCCUUCUUUUUCGAGUAAAUGGGCAUGCUUAGGUAGGGACAAAGAGGUCUAUAUCUCCUCACUCUCCCACUUUGGGGGUAAUUUGACUCUCACCAAAGCCGUCAAUAAGCAAAGAUACUCUAAUUUUUAUGAGUGGCGAAUUAUUCCUUGUAAACAUCUUGACCCUCCCAUCAUGGUUUCUUUGAAUUUCUUUGAGAAUAUUGCAUAGAUGUUUACUGCCAUAGGCUGGCGUUGUUAUGCCGAAAUACGAUGUCCUGCUUUUGUUGAAUUGGUUAGGGAGUUUUACGCCACCUUUCAGUUUGAUCUAUCCAUGGGGUAUUCUAUCACAACCCCGAAUGUGAUUCGAUUUCGAUUGAUGGGUUAGGAGUUUAAGUUCUCCAUUACUUAGUUUAAUUUGGCUGUGGGUUCAUCGAUAGUGAGUAUGCCAAUUUUAAGGAAUAUGCCGAGAGUGCUUGUGAUUAUAUCGAACCAUUUUUCUCUUUUCACACCGAGAUUUGAAAGGACAUUUCUAUUGAUGGUGAUUGUUAUAAUCCUAGCCGGUCCAAGAGCUGUUAUCUCAAGGACCUGAGUUCCUGUUAUAUUCAGCACUUUUUAGCCUAUAAUUACUCAGGUAGGAAAGAUAGUUCCGAGACCUUUUCUAAGCCUAAAUUUUUCUUUAUUUGGUGUAUGACUAAAAUAUCAAAGUUAAUUUGGGCUAUUGGCUAGUUUCCCAAUUCAAGACGGUUAUGGUUAAGAAAAACAAACCUUUGAUUCUUGGGUUUUACAUCACACAUUUAGCUAUUCAUUUAGACAUUGUUGAUCCCUAUGACCAUGAUUUACAUUUGGCUUGUAACAUGGACCCUUUAGAUAUGGUUUGUCUAGAGAAAAUGGGUGUAGUGGGACAGGUUGAUGACGCGUGGCAGUUUACUCUUUCGGGGACCACUUGUGUACUUGUUCAUCGUCCUUCCACGUGUGCUAGUACCUCUUCUACUUCCUGAGUAGCCGAUGGCAAGCCUGGACCAUCUACCUCUGCACCUUCUCCAUUGUCGUCUUGGGAUGCUGAGUGGCAAUACCUUUGUGCACAAGUUCACCAUAUGGAUGAACAGUUGACUAAUCUUGCACUUCACAUGCCCCAGAUGUCCUAGACUUUUUGCGGCUUACUUCCACUAUGUGGGUUUUACGCCGCCAUUCCCGCCUCAUCCAUAGCUGUUUGGAGUCCUUCUCCACAUUCUUCAGGAAAGUUUCGUUGUCCCCUUCCUUUUCUUUUCUUUAUUUCUUCCAUUCGGGACAAUAUCAGAUUUAGGUGUAGGGGGAGUUGUACAGUUGGUACUAUUCAUUUUAGGUGUUUUCAUUUUCUUUUUGUCAUUUGUGAGUAUUUUUAUGGAUAUUUGGGAUCGACAAUGGUUAGUUGAUUCCAAUUUUUCUAUUACCAAGUUUUAUUUAUAAGAAUGUAUCGAGUGCAAUAUGAGUAAGUCUAAGAAUGGCUCCUUGGUGAAUAUUUGAGAUUUUGUGACUUUUGCAAUUUUUGGUUAGCUUUUCUAGGCAUUGUGCAUAUUUUUCUAGUAUUUUUCAUGUAAAUUGGUUCAAUUAUUAAUCUUAGUUCUCCAUGUUUGAGGAAAUGAUGCAACCUUGUGUGAUUUUUAACAUUGUUUUGUUGCUAAUUUGUGAAUAGUGUUUGGCUAUAUUCCGGUGGUUAUCGCUACCUAGUAACCGGGAGUGUUCACCUAAAGUAUCGACUUUCGUGUCAAACAGUAGCGGUAGCUAUGAGUAUGUGGCCCUUAAAUGAUGAAAAGUUGAGUAACCGGAUUCCUUCUUUUGGUAGAUGUCAGAAUUUACAUCAAAAGACUUGAAUGGCUAAGGACUAAAUCUUGUCCCUAAAAAAUGAACAAAAAAAAAAUAAAAAAAUAGAGAAAAAAAAGAAAACAAAAAAAAGAAACUGUGCGAGUAUAGAGUUGAUUAUGUUAGCCUGUCGAUCCAUGGGUUUGAUGUUGAGAUUUUGAUUAAUAGUUGAGUCGUUUGCUGAUCAAUGCUAGUCAAAUGUUUAAUCUUCUUAGAUUAGUUAGUCAGGAAUUGGAGAAGUCCUUGGUUUUAAAAGCUAACCGAAGAGUUAUUUCUUGGAACUUGGCUAUCAAUGCUUGAUGUCUACUUUGAUGAUAUUUUAACAAUAGAUGAGUUGAGUGAUAACCAUUGUUGGGUUUCAGUUACUGAUUUGUUGUUUCUCAUACUUGAGAACAAGUAUGUUCUAGGUGUGGGGGGAAAUUGAUAGGGUGCAAAAUUGUUAUUCAAUUUAUGAUUAGUUUUCCCUUUUAUUUUAGCCAAAUAUUGUUUUAAUUGUCGAAUUCUAUUUAUAUUUGGUAUUUGAUGCUAUUGUAGGGCGGUGGAGCGAAAGUUGCUAAAAAGGGACAAUUUUCUUCAAAGUUGAUUGUCAAGUGCGGAGAUGCGGGAUUUGCACGUAAGAGUUUCCUAAUCCAAGAUGGAGUCUGAGCAGAGUAGCGACUUGAGAUUAAGAAAGUUUUUCUUCUAGAGAUUUGAUUUAAUUAGGAAACAAUUAGCCUUAUCUUUUGGGAGUGGUUCCUUUUUCAAUUAGAAGUAUUUUUAUUCUUGAAAGCAAGAAAAUAGGGGAAGGGCCGUUUGACUUUUAGUACUCGACAAAAAACAAAACUUGGGAGACGAGAAUUUUUUGGGAGCGCUGGUGACUAGUCUCGCGGGCAGGAACAGAACAAAGUUGCUGUCCUCUUUGUCAUUGCUUUUACUCUCAUUUUCUAUUUUAUUUGAUGCUUAUGCAAUUUACGUCAAUUAAAUUGUGUUGCUUGAUGCCGAUGACGUGCAACUAAAUUUUGCUUUUCUAGCCAAGAAAUAACGUGAAUUUGGGUCAUCAACAACUAUGAGAUCAAACUGUUUUUAUUAAUUUCUUUUAUUCAUUAGUAUUCGUAUGUUUUCAAGUUUAAUUGCUUAUAGGAGUUAGUUGUUUGAAUAUCAAAGGCGUUUGAUAUUUAAUUCAACCUAACAAACUAUUGCCAGUUAAAACAGUUAAAUUCGUAAUUGUUUAAUUAUUUUAAAUUAGUAGCGACUAGCGUGAUUGGCUUUACGUUAGGAAGACAUAUGAUUUAAUUUAAAUAAACCCUGAUAAUGUGUUUAUUAAUUAGAACAGGACUUUUCUAGUUUCUAAUGCAAUUAAAGAAUUAAAUUUUAUGGAUGUACCUAGGGUUAUUUUUUGGUUAGAAAAGUAGUUAACUAGUGUACCUUAACUAUUGAGAUACUAAGGAAGAGCUGGUUGUGAUCACAUGUUUGGCAACUAUAACCUGUUUAUUAACCAUAAAUGAAAUAAUUCUUGCAUCGAUGAGCAGUUGUUUGACCCGUUUCCAGAGUUAUUUCCUUGGUUAGAGCUCGUUUAUCCUUGAUUUAAAUUUAAUCUGUUUUAGUUUAAUUAUUUUCAAUUUGCAUUGAUUAUUUAUUUUUAAUUGCAAUUUUCCAAACUCCCCCCAAUUAAUUGUCACUUGAAAGAAGCAAAUUUUCACUCGAAACCUUGAGUUUAUAUCUUUUUGAGUAGGAAUUUAUUUUUACACAAGCCUGGCACUUGUCAAUUAACACAAGGUUUCGAGCAAUGCACAGUUUCUUUUGUAUCUAGAAUGGCUAAUGUAGCAAGUCAUAUGCUAGCACAUUUUGCAACAUACCUAGUUUAUGAUAUAAAAUGGGUAAAUGAUUUCCCAAUUCGACUAAUAGAAGCAGCUAGGAAGGAUGAGUGGGUGAAUGUCCCCUUUUGUAAUUAACUCUUGUACUUCAAGUGUUGAUAGAUAUACUGAUAGUAUCAUUUGUUGAAAAAAAGAGAAAGUGUUUAUUUGUUUAAUAAAAUGGUCACGGUAGUGUUUAUAUAAUUUUGUAAACUUCGGAAAGUAAAUUACCUCGUUGAAUUUGUAUAAUUUGAUUAUGUUGAAGAAACAUAAUCUUGAAAAAGCAGAGAAAUUUUCUAGUAAAUAUUUAUGUUAUUUUGAUAGCUAAUCAUUGUUCAUAUCAAUAUACUAGCUAUAAACUUAUACUCGCAAUACUACUGUUACGGUAUAAAAUUUCUCGUCAGAGCAAUUUAUAAUUUCAUCCCAUAUUUACCCUUGACUGUUAACCUCAAGUUCUUCAGAUAUCCAUGGGACAGUGUAACCCCUUUGAAGGUCAAUUCUUACACCCUCAUCAAAGUUUCUGGAGUUGCGUAUUAUAGGGGUGCAAACACAAAAACGAGACAUCCUUAAUCAAAUGGAGUUCCUUCUUUUUGCGAUUCAUUCCUCUGCAAAGCUCCUCCUCCUCCGAUUUUAAUAUAUGCCGCUGUUAAAAUAGGAUACUAAUUAGGUGAAUACGAGGACUCUCGUUCGACUCUCGAUCUUUCCUCUCAAAUUACACUAAUAUUUUUAAUCAUACACUCAUCCCCUUACUAACUUCCUAUGGGCCCAAUAUGUUGAGUAGAAUUCGAUUGGAACAACCGAAAAGAAAAGAAAAGAAAACAAAUACAAAACAAUGAAAUGGACACUUAGUCAAGUUGGAACCUAGGAGGAAGUGAGGAGCACAAGUGCGAACAGAUCACCAAGGAAAAAGAAACAAAUUUUUCGAGAAUGCAAUUUGAUUUCAAGCUCAAUCAUAUUCUAAGAGUCAAUGAUAAGAUCGAAAAAUGUAGGUCCAUUGUUAAGAUAUAGACGGAGAUGGUUGCUUAUUGAGCGUUGGAAAUAUUUCAUAAGCAAGUUGUACUUAUAUCUCAACUUGUAUAAUUUUAAUUUAAUAAGAUUAAGUUAAUGACCAUGUCAAUGAUCUCUGCGUCGUGCAUGACAUUCUUUUUUCUUGUACUCUCCAAAAGCCUCCUCCAGCAGUGGCUGCAUGUCUGUACAUGUUCCCCCACAACAAGAAUAAUGAAUCAAUUGCCAUAAUUGCACGCAUUUAAAUUUUCUGAGCUGGUGAUAAAUUGCAUAGUUUUGAUUUUUUCUGUUUCCGGUUCCCACUCUAGCUACUUCUAGAUUUAUUAAUUGGAAAAAAAAGAAGAAGGAAUAAAUUAAACCUUAUUUAAUUACUUUUUUAGUCAGGAUAUCUAUAGUAGAUGUAAUUAUCUCUAUAGAAAUGAAUGAAGCAUCCUAGCUUGUGAUCAUUAUCCUCUGUUGCAAUUCUCUUGUUCAAACUUCAAAUUUAGGUCUUGUUUGCUAAUCCAAUUCAGCAUUUAAAUUUAAUGGAUUCAGAUUUUAAUAUAUUCAGAUGCGUUUGAUAACCAAAAAUUGAACAUCUGAAUUAAUUAAGUGAUACUAAAAUUUUCAGGCAAAACUUACCCCUAAAAAAGAGCGAUAAGUUAUUCACUUAUCACUUAAUGUGAUAUACACUCAAAUAUAUCAGAUUUACUACUUAUAAUAACUUAAUGAAUUCAGAAUUCAAAUUUCAUAUUUCAAUUUUAUCAAACGCACCCUAUCUCACGGCAAACUGAAUAUGAAAUCCAAAGUUGAAAAUCCAAGAUGUUAGAACUUUGAAACCAUAGAGCCUCUAGGCAAAUUCAGCAUUUUUACAUUCUAUUGAUUUAGGGCAUCUUCAAUUAUCAGUUUCAACUCCAUGGUAUAAUAUAGAUAUUACCUCUAAUAGUUGUACGCACUUACACAACAAAUACAGAUUGUGAAAUUAAUUGUUUAAGUUUGAUAUUUUGUAGGCUUUGGGAUAUAAUUUUCACGUUUAGGAAAAAGAAAAUAUGUUAGUAAGUAAUAAUGUGAUACCCCUUGUCCCACGUUGGAAGUGGGAGAGGAAAAGGAUUGAUAUAUAUGCAAGAUUUGGUCGCAUAAGUUACUAGUUACUUGGGCUAACCAUGUCGGAAAGUGUAUUUCGACACAAAAAUUACUUACGCCAACCAUGGGCUUGGAUGGUGAUAAAUAACUUACUAGAAGCCAGGCAUGUUUAUGUUUAGAUGUCCUGAAAGCAGAGUAGUUCAGAAUCUAGAUAAUGGUAACGAUAUGAUGAGAAUGUGAAGUUAUUUGGUAAACUUUAUAGAUUAAUAAUUUCAUCAAGGCAUCGUAUAUAACCAUGAUGACACAAUCUCAACUUUCAUUCUUUUGUUAAAUCUUAGUUUUUUUCUCUUAAAUUUUUUCGAAUAAAGGAAUGAUGGAAUUUAAGCAGUAGAGGGGUGGAAGGGGAAUUUGAAUUCAAAACCUCUAAUUUCUAAGUUUUUCACUAAGCAAUCGUCAAAACCAAAAAAAAAAAAAAAUUAAAAGAAAAAAAAAAUUAGCACCUUAUGGUCAAUGCUCCUGUUCGAAGAUUUAUUCCUUUGGUUUGUCAUCAUCUCCCUCUAUGAAAUCUAAGUACCCUUGGUUGACAAUUUGUUUCCCUGAGCAUCCAUCAACACUUUUAUAUAGUAUUUCUUUUAAUAUAGUAUUAGAUUAGAUUAGAUUAGAUUAGAUUAUCAAUGCACCAUCAAUAUAGUAUUAGAUUAUCAAUGCACCAUCAAAACACUUUUAUAUAGUAUUAGAUUAGAUUAGAUUAUCAAUGCACCAUCAAUAUCCUUAAAUAUAAAAGCUUAAGUAUAGUAAUCAAAAUACUGUUAGUAAUCUGUAUGAUUAUUUUUUAUCCUUUAAUGUUUUAGUUUUAGGAAGAUCACAAAUGCUGCGUAUAAAGCAUGCCAUAGGCUAAAUUAAGCUAAAUUAAGUACAUUGCUAAAAUGGAGAGCAUUGCUAAAUUAAGUACUUUAAGAUAAAGACUUAAGCAGCCAGAUCCAUUUGAUGUCAGCUGCUUCAAUAUCCACCUCAAAAUAAAUUAGCCCUUGUUCUAGAUUAGCUUAAUGCUAAGUCCCUUCACCAUUCUUAGUAAUAAUUCAAUUCUGCCUCAAUUUUCUUCUGAUCUUCAAGGUAAAUGUACGAUAAAUUUCAAAAUAUAUCCCAAAUAUAUGAAUUUCUUGAAACCAUCCUUCAAUCUCAUUACCUACUCAACAAAAUGUUCCAUAAACACAAAUAUAUUAAUGAACUUGGAGUUGAUUUGAAGAAUUGACGAGAACCGCAAGCUAGAAUUUUUCAUAUAUUCAAACAAGAAAUUGGAAAAAUCUGACUAGCUUGCAACGAGUACUACAUCUCAAGACAAGGGAUCUUUUCAGUCACUCUUUAAUUGUAUCGAAGACCUACUUGCAUCUAUGAAUAAGCAAUACUGAGUGAUUUUAGAUGUGGAGUUGAUUCCAUGUGGUAGGACAACUUUGGUUUUCAAAAAUAAGGGCAGUCCAAUUCACUCAAUACAAAAAAAAAAUUUUAAAUGAUAAUAUUCAAAGGAACGUCUAUCUUACCUAAAAAAACAAACAAACAAAAAAAAAAACAAUAAAAAGGAGAUUGAUAUCCUAUCCAGUAUCCACAGAUUGAACAAUAGCCACAUUAUCUUAUAAUUCUUAAUGAUCAUUAGCUGAACUAUCAACUUUAGCAGUCAAGAAAGGCUGUAACUUGUAUAAGGACAAUAAAUUCUUUAUUCCGGCGUCCGGAGACUUGAGACGUGGACGCUUCAUUAGUCAAUAAUAAAGUGUGGAAUUCGACGAAUAUUCUUAGCUCGUUCAAGAUAACAGAGAAGAUUCACUCUUGUACAAGCAACAGGCACAGCUACUUAAACUAUUGGAUAAUUUCAUAAACCUUGGCUGAAGUUUUGGACAAUUUCAGUACCCCUCUUAUUUUCAAUAUUACGCUGACCAUUCUUACUUUAACUAAUGUAGUAACCAAUUCAGCCCAUAUCAGUAAAAGAAAUGGAAUAAAUUGACAAGAAAUGGUGUCAUCACAUUUUGUUCCACAUUUACCCUUAUAGACCCUAAAAGAAAUAUUGUAACAUAGGACAAAUUUUACUUCGUACCUUCGAACUUGAAUCACUUUUCUAUUUUCUUACUCUAAACUUUAAUUUUGGAUGCUUUCCAUGUGAUUGGAGGCAACAGCACAACAGAGCUCUUCUUAAGUCUCUGAUCGUUAGUGUCACAUGACCAUUGCUAAUUAUGCUAUUGCUUUUGAAUGGAAAUAGCAUAAAAGUCUUGGUGAAUGAACAAAUUGAAUAGACCAUUUUGCAGAGCAGUGAAAUAUUCCGAAGCCGUGAAGCACAGUGAUAAGCUACAAAUUAUAGUAAUUUAUAUUUAUUAAUUGUCAAUGAAUGGUUUUAUUUGAGCUAUAAUUAGAAUGGAAGUUGCCUAAUUUAAGUAUAUUUUGGUUUUUGCGGGAAAAGCACGCAAUUGAGGAGGAGAUGAAUAAAAAACGCAACAAAAGAAGAAGAAACGUUGAAAGGGACUUUGUGAGGACUUCUUCCAGUUCCAAUGAUUUCCGGAGAAAUUUCUAAAAUUAUGAUGAAUUUUAAAAAAAUUCUACAAAGGCGGCAUUUUGAGUAUGGGAUUCCGUCCAAGGGGUCUUCACAUUCAGUAAAUGCGAGCUCCCUCUCAGCUCGCAUUUACUGAAUGCGAAGUCUCUUGAAUUUGCAACCAACGAAAUCCAAAAAAAAAAAAAAAAAAAAACAGACCUCGCAUUUGUUAACAGUACGUAGGCCUGACCUCUUAUCCCGUUUCUGAGCAACAGAGCAUGCCACGAAUUUGAAAGCCAUUUGCCAAGUGAAAAGAAAAUGUGCAGCGCAAAUGGGACACAAAAUUGAUUGGGGAGUCCUGUUGAGGUAGUACAAGUGGCAAAUUGGGAGGGGACAGAGAGGCGCAGCUGGCUAUCUUCACAGAAAUGGGUUCCGAACAGGGGUCCAAGCUCUACAAUGGCGCAGAGCUUCCGACGAGAAAGAUGUGAGGGAUUUCGUCUGCCGAUCCUCGAAGCUUGGACUGGUGUCUAGCUCAGCAAAAGAGAAGAGAGAGUGAGCUGGAUGGAGAGAGUGAGCUCCAAUUUCUGUAGGUUAGGAGACAGAUUAGAAUGCCGUAAUUAGAGCUCUGCCUUUUUUUCAGAUUGAGUACAUCGCAUUCGAGAAAUGCGAGGUACCUCAGCUCGCAUUUGGCAUAUACGACCUUUGUUGUUUUUUACUUUUUCUCAAAACCUUUCUCUUUUUUCUUGAAACACUGACCUCGCAUUUGUGAAAUGUGAAGUCUUUGAACUAGCGUUUCACAAAUGUGAAGACCAUAAUCCUAGAAUUAGCUUCAAAAAUUACCCCCCUUGUAAAACAACUUUUUUUUCUAUCACAAUUUAAGAAUUUACUCUGAUUUUUGAGCAUAACAAGUUUGCGGCCAGAGUUAGAGCCGGUCUUCGGGCCGAACUUUAUUGGAAAACCCAUUCAAACUCGAUUUUUGGUAAGUUUUCAAGACCUAUUCCUACCACAUUUCGGAUGCAACUUUGAGAGACUAUAAAUAGGACAUUCUAGGAUAUUUUUAGGUUAGAAAGCAUUUAGCUUACAUUAGUUCAUCCUUUUUAUAUCUUCUUUUCUUGAGAGAUCACAAAGGAAGUGUUGAAGAAUCAAAGAGAAAGUUCAAGAUGGAGAUUGGAGUAGGGAAAAAUUGAGAACUUUUCUUUACUUUUAACUUCUUAUUUUGUCUUUCAUUUGAAUUCUUGGAUUUAUCUAUGAAUAUGUUGAACUAAUUUAUAUCUAGACUUAAGAUUUUGUGAAGGAGAUUUGAUUAUUUGUUCUAGAUAAAUUAUUCAAUUUUUCUUUGAUUUAUCUAUCUUGCCUUUAUUACAUAUUUUUGUUUGGCCACUAUAGAUAUGCUUUUAGGGUUUGUAUUGAAUUGAGAAGCGAUAUACAACCAUAUAUUAGAUAAAUAAACUUACUUAACCUAAUUAUGAAUGUGGGUUAGGAUUUGUAUGGCAUAAUCAUAUCACCUAAAAUCUUAAAGGGUUUAAUUAAAUACCUAUGAUCUUGAGAGCAAUGUGAGAUUUCAUUAAACACAAUUUAGAUGUAUCGAGAGAUAAUUAAAAUACCUUUACGUGAUACAUCUUUGACAUGUUAAGAAAAUAAUUGGAUAAUGAUUCCAAUUAUAAAUCAAAAUUUGAAACUCUAGUUUUUGCUAAUUGUUUUCUCACCUAUAUCUUAUUUGAUUUCAUUACUUAUUUAAUUUCUUAAUUAGUGAUUAAAAACCCUCUAAAUUUAAAUUUUAUUAUUUUUAUUAGAGUAAUUAAAGUAGAAAAAAUUAACUCAUUCCUAUAUGUUUGACCCUGGAGUACUCCAAGUGAAUUAUUAUUUCGAUCAACCCUAUACAGUUAUAGAAAUUCAUCGAUCACACAGCAACUAAAAAAAAAAAUUAAUGCACAAUAAUGUCAUGAACACAGUUCUCAUAUUAGUUGUUCAACAUUCAUGGUGGAUUUCAAUUAGUGGUAAAUAGAUAAAGUCGUCGAAAAAAGUAAUCUAAUUACUAGAUAAUUGAAUUUAUACUACAGCAUAUUUCUUUUUUCUACUGCAAAAACUUAACUAAUUUAAGACAAUGUAGUCCAAGCUAAUUGAAGAUUAAUUUCCCUAAAAAAUGUUCAUGAUAAAAACUCAACAAAGAGAUAAUACAACAGCUUACUUUUGGAGGUGAUCUUAUACGGUCUUUAUUAACAAACUAAUUAGCCACCUAAGCCUUUUUUUUUUCCUUUUGGGACUACACAUGACAAAAUGAGGAGUGAAUCAGUCGCUUAGUAUCUAAAAUUUUCGCUCCAUAAUUAGUUCAACCUGAUUUAAGACUAAAUUUUUACUAUAGGAAUGUUCGUGAUUCAGCAAUGAAACACCAUAUAAACUUAUUUUGGGAGAUUUGUCCUAGAAGAGAAAAAAUGAGCAACCAAUCAGAAAGUCGUACUUACAUAUCAAAAUCGAUACUGUCUACUUAAUUCACCAGGCACCAGCUAUGUAUAUUUCAUCCAUUUUCACAUAAUAGAAAGAACAAUAAUGCAUGGCAUUAUCCAUCAUAAAUUUCUCAUAUAACAUCAAGAUAUCAUGGUGUGGACCUCAAAUGACUCGUCAUGUCUACUGGCUACAUUUUAAACAUAUCUUAUGGCCAGAAUGUUCAUCUUAUCAACUUAACGAGUUUAUUCAUGGUACCAUACCAUUCAAUUAAAAAAGUUUCCACCUUUUACCUUUUAUUUAUAGAUGUCGAGGAAUAUAGCUGAUAACGCACUUUUGGCAGCAAUCUUCCUUCACCCAAUUAAAGAUUUUCGGAGCUUAAAGUUCAGCUCCUAAAGCUCUUCUCCAAGGCUCACCAACCAACAGAGAAAUUACUUUUAGCAAAGUUUUGAUGGCAUCUUGGCAAGAUUGGAAGAUUAUAUUGCGCUUCUAAGAUAAUGUUUAAAAAAGCUAUUUUAACGAGGGCAUUAUGGUCAAUUUGCCCCUGAUGAUAUUGACAUUAGGUCCCAUCAACAUCAGAAGGGAGCUCAUUGUAUUAUUGGAUAUAACAAGAGUGCUAGUGAAAUUAUGAAAACCCUCAAGGAAGGUUUUUGAAAUUAACCCUAAAAUACUCAUUCCACGCAAGGCGUGGCGUUCCCCUCCUAGUUCCUAUAAAUAGGGCUGCAACUCAAUGCACUUAUCACUCGAUAUCAAUAAUUUAGCACAUUAUUUACAUUUUGAGUGAGAUUGUGAUCAAAUGACAUCUUCAAAAAAUUUGCUCUUUCUUAUUGGUGUUCUUUUUGCACUUGUGCUCCUCAUUUCCUCUGAUGCAACAGCUGCAGGUGCCUAGUCCCUUUUUUUCUUUUCCUUUCUUCCUUUUUUUUUUUGGCUGCACCUAAAUACUUAAAUGAAUGGAGAUUUGGAGACUCAUUAUUGGGAUGUGAAUUUUUAUGGAAGGCUAUUUGUAUAUUAUCAAGCAAGUCAUAUUAAUGUGCUAAUAUCUUUUUCAUUGUUUAGCAAAAGUAAAUUUGGGUUGCUUCUAUCAAUGGUUAGUGGCACAUCUGAUUUUUCAUGCAUCCUUAUAGUAUUGCUGUAAGGAUACACGUUCCAUAGUGUCGCACCAAAGAUUAAACUAACGUCGAAAACCAAAUUAAAUGCUUCUAAUUAUAAUUUAAAGCAAAAUAAUUCCCCUUAUAAAUGGACGAAACUUCCUGCCAACAAAUCCAAAUUCAAGAAAAAAUUUUCUUAAGGGGAAACUCUGCCAAAAUUUUCUUAAAAUAAAUAAAAUAUUUAAUUAAAAAAAUGAAGCAAAAUAAUUCAUAUCCAAGUCGCACCAUCUUAUAUGCCUAGACUGUUUUGUUUAAUCCAUAGUAUUCUUUUCUUUGCAUAUAUCUUGCAAAUUUUCAGCCAAGCCGGUCACCUAACGUUCGCAGCUUAAGAUAAAGCUCCAAAUAUUUAUGUCUCCUUGUGUCUUGAAACAGAUCAGAAGAGCGUGAAAACCACUGGUGUCCACGAUGCCAGUUCAGGCGAGGUUCAUCAGGAUAGCAAAAGCGAAGAUCGUUGCAGACAUGGUUGCUGCCACUGGUACCAUGGACACUGCCAAAGAUGCUGUCGAACUGCCGAGGAGACCCCUGAAGUCACAUCUGGAGAUGAGGAUACCGUAACCGCAGAUCGUUGCAGACAUGGUUGCUGCCGCUGGUACCAUGGACAUUGCCAAAAAUGCUGUCCACCUGAAGAUCGUUGCAGACAUGGUUGCUGCCACUGGUACCAUGGACAUUGCCAAAGAUGCUGUCCACCUGCUGAGGAGACCCCUGAACAUCGUUGCAGACAUGGUUGCUGCCGCUGGUACCAUGGACAUUGCCAAAGAUGCUGUCCGCCUGCUGAGGAGACUUGCAGACAUGGUUGCUGCCACUGGUACCAUGGACAUUGCCAAAGAUGCUGUCGAACUGCUGAGCAGACCCCUGAAGCUACAUCCGGAGAUGAGGUCAAAAAUUAACGCUAAAUAAAUAAGGGCGUGACACAGGAUCCGUGACACCUAUAUUAUUACCUUAAUAUGUUAUGUUGUGUUUGCUUUUAAUGGUUGAUUUCCUAUAUGUGUAAAAGACUUGUGCGGCUUCUCUUUGAAUUGGUGUAGAAUCAACGGGGGAAGCAUGUAAUGAGUAUUCAGUUCGAGUGCUCUUCUUAUGUUGUUGUCAUGUUGAAUAAAUAAAUCUACUUGAUCAUCUACUACAAUUGAUGAUCUUCUUAUGUUUUUUUUUCACUUUAUCUUCCUUCAAGAUUUUUGGUGGAAAUGCUUCAUUUAUACGAAUUUUCCUAGUUAGUAAAUGCUUCUAUUACACUUGUACAAUACACAUUUAAAAGUAUAACACAACAAAAGCUUGUGUAGUUCAUAUAUUUAAAAAAUAUUCAUACUUUUCAACUAAACUAUAAAAAUAUGUAAUAAAUUCUUUAUACAUUAUACUUUACGAACUAUACUUUAAAUUUUAAAAAUAUUUAAUAGUAUCACUUAUCAAUAACUCCACAUGUUAAUUUGUCUUCCAAUUCAGUAAAUUAUAGUAGCUAAUUCUCAAAGCUAACCGACACCAAAAUUCCCUCACUUGUUCAGCUCCUAGUGGAUUUAUAUUAAUUACAUUGCAUUUAUUUCCUAAGCAUGAGUUUUGUAACCCCUCAUAUUAAAUCUCAAUGAUUGAUUUUAACGGUUACCCAGGCGUCUAGUAAUUGGUUUGCUAUUAAUUUGAACUAGACAUUUAUUAGGUCUAGUAGAAUUUAUUCCUUCUUAUCACUUAGUUCAUAAACCUUACGAAUCGUUAAAACCAGCUCUAACAUCAGCUAACAAGACUUCUACAAUUUCGGGUUUUGCUUAGAAAUCAGUCUGAUAGGUUAACUUGCUUCGUCCAACUUUAUGAGUUGCUUCUUUUUUCUUUUUUUUUCCAUAUUUGACAUUUCAUCUUACUUUAAUAUGGGGACCAAGUUAGUAUUGUUGACAUUUCAUAUCUAAGACUUCUUAAUUAAUUGAUUUGUUAUAAGAACUAUAACGUAUGCGUGUUUUGUAAGCUUUCAUGUUUUUUUAUUUUUUCAAUUCUUGUGGACCAGCAACGGAUAGUUUCUUCUAGUACCAAUCUUCCUUUGAAGUUCUUUAAUUUUUUUUUUGUGUCCAAAUGUAAAUUAAAAGAACCAACAACUUUGAACAAGUCUAUAUCUAGUAAAGAUAGAUAUAAAGAGGGAUACUAUAUCACUGCAACAAAAAAGGGAUUUGGCGAGGAGCAAAAGUCCACGCCAAAAUUUUUGACUUCGUCGCCAAUUAAUUUCAGCGAGAAAAAUGCUUCCUCGUCAAGUUUCUUGCUAGAUGCUCAUCGCUAAAAGUUAUUAGAGAGGAUGUUGUUGCUUUUCUCGCUAAUGAAACAGAUCAAUAGCAAGGAUUGACCUCCUCGCCAAUCUGAUUCAAAUACUAUGGCGAGAAAAGCUUUCCUCACCACUAAAGUUAAAAACUCCCCACAAAAACCAGUAGUUCCUAGCAAAUAGUCAAGGUGUUCUGCUAGGAAAAAUAGCGCAUCCUUACCAAUAGUAUAGAAUUAGCAAGGAUUCUUUUGACAAAUCUGCAAUGCCUCGUGUACCAGUAAAACAUUUUUGGCCAGGAAAGUUUCCUCUCUAAUAAGCAAUAAUUGAUUAUUGUCUAACUGUUUGGUGGGAAAAUGUUCCUCUCCAAUGCUGUUAUGAACAUUUCUUAAUCCCAUUUAGCAUGCUAAUCUUAAUUCUCUGAGCAAAUUACUGGGUGGUUUUAUUAGAAAAUUUAGCUGCAAAUAGCUUCAAUUUGGCUUCUCAUGUGUCUGUUGUACAUUUUCCAGGUUCUUAUAAGUAUCAAAUUGUUUGGCAAAAUUUUUUUUUAAUGAAUCAUGACCAACGUAGCUGCUCAUUAAAUUUAAACUCAUAAGCCCUAGUAUUUGAUAGCUUUUUGGAAUAUCACUUGGUGCCAACAACCCCCUUUUGCUACUUUGAUAAACAUUCAAUAGAAAACAUACAAAAGCUUUGGUUAGCUAAAAAUAAUUGUUAGCAAAGUAAUACAUCAACAUCCAGCUCUUUCAACAUCUUGAGCCAUACAAAUAGGAAGUGCUUGAAAUCAAUUGGCAAUCCAAAUUUUUUUUAGCUCAUUAACCAUCCAAGAAAUCGCAACUUCAAUAAGUCAUUACAAAAGAAGAUUUCAUCAAGAGAACACCACAAAAAGGAGAAGCAGAAAAAAAAUAUAAGAGAGAGAGAGAGAGAGUUAAACUAGUCAUAUGGACACAUAUUUGUCACCUCAGUAUUUCCAAUUCCUUAAUUCAGUCCAGUUAUCUUGGAACUCUAUCGGCAAUCCAUGGAACAUUUUUUGAAUGACAAUAUGCUGUUGCAACCUUCUGGUGAAGACUUCAAAGGUUCUAUGAUAGGUUGCAUUUUUGUCAUUAAUUCUAUGAUUAUUUUCCUCAUUUAUAUUACCAAAUAUUGUAUUAAUUGAUUGAUUCUACUUAUAUUUGGUAUUUUGUGUCAAUUGUAGGAAGGUGGAGCAAAAAAUAAUAAAAGAGGUGAUUUUUCAAGAGUUUUCCAUUUCAAGAUGGAGUUUACGUGGAGUAUUGGAUGAAAAUUAGGAAACUACCACUUUUUAUUAGAUGUCUUAUUAGGGAACAAUUAGCAAUAGUUGGAGAAGUUUCCUUUUGCAAUUAGAAUUCUAUUUUUAGUUGGCCAAUGGACUGCCGAAAUAAUGGACUUCAAUUAGGAAACAAAGAGAGAAAAAAGGCCGGAAUCCCGCGUGAUUACUACCUUGGAGGGAACAAGAAAAAGGAGACGUCCGCUGGUCUCUUCUUUAGUGAGUCUUUUGGAAAAAACCAAUGGUUAUCGAUGGUGUCCUGCGGAUCUCUCCUGAUGAUGUGUAGCUAAAUCUCCGUUUUCUAGUCGAAUGUCAAUUUGAGGACUCGAUUCCAAACAUAUUUGAUAAGAGAAUAUUUAAUGUACAUUUUGUACAAGUUUGGCAUGAACUUUUGAUGUGUUUUGAGAAGAUUAAAGCCAUAUUUGAACUCUUUUGGUGAUAAAUGCUUAAAUAUUAUGUAAGUGUUCAAAACUUGAUAAAUGAGUGGAUUAAUGCGUUAAUUUUGUGAAAUUGUGAAGGAUAUUGAUAUAUGAAAUUCAUGCACGAGAUGAAGGAAAUGUAAGGAUCGUCUAGAGGAUAAAGUACAAAAGAAACUAGGAGCAAAAAUGAAGAAAAAGGAAAGAAGUGAAAAACUGGAAAUUGAUCAGCACAGAUUUGAGCUCGGAUCCGUGUGAACAAAGGGCGAUCCGAGCCCUCGUCUGCACUUCUGGAGCAGUGCAUCCGAGGCCAGACAAUCUGAGCUCGGAUUAUUAAGAGAAAGACCUCGGAUCAGCCUUGAUCCGAGCUCAGAUCGUAGUGCACACCUCGGAUCCAGGUCUCGGAUCUGCCUCUCUUCUGCAAGUGGCACGGCCGUUUUUUCUCAUUUUCACACAACUUUCCAGCUAUCUUGGGUGAGAGAAUUCGAUGGCACAUGCUUCUGCAACAAAAGGGAAGACAAAAUGAGUUAUUGAUAAGUCAAAACAACAUUUCUUUUGACUUUCUUUACAAAAUCUGAGUUGUUGGAAUCAUGAAGGAGAAGAAAGUGCCUUUCUACCACCUUUUAUGCAGAGAACUAAGGAGAAGUCAGGCAUCACCAUAUGGAGGAGUUUUUCAUCUUGUAACAUUUUUCUCUCUAGCUAGAAGUUCUAAAAACAAGCACUUGGAGAUUUCACUUGUAAUCAUCUUGUACAAGACAUAGCAAAAAUUUGAGGGUUUCACCAUUAAUUGGCUAAGCUUUUCUUUAUCUUUCUUGUACUUGUACUUUAUGAUGUUUUGCAUUAAUAAACUUGUGAGUUUGAUUGUUAUAUUAUUCAUGAGUAGCUAAAUUUCUUUAUCUAGAGAGUAGAUAAAUGAUAUGAAUUGAAUGUGAUUUACACUUGUUAUAUCUUGUAUUAACUUGUCUAUUUGUGCAGUUGUAAUUACUUGUUGUUGUUUGAUCACCAAUAGCAUGUUUAUAGUUGUUAUUAGUCAAUAAGAAUUGGUAGUAACAAUAGAAAAAAUAUGAGUAGAGCUUGAGUUGUAUGUUCAUGAAAAUAGAUGUACACUUAAGUGGAUUAGCUAGCAUUUCAUGAAGGAAAACAGAGUAGAACUGGUAGUUCACCAUGAAAAUAGGGAAAACUGGAUUACUCUAGGCCAUUUUAUCAUGAGAAUGAGAUUUGGCAAUAUUGAAAAUGAAUCCCUGGUUAAACAACAAUAAUAACAAGAGGUAAAUCUAUUCAUUUGUGUUGUUUAUACCAUAAGUGGAAUCUACAUCCCUAGAUUUAUUCUUGAGUGAAAUUUAUCCAUUUGCAUUUAGCAUUUGUUAAACUAGAUUUAUAGACAACAACAUUAUAAUUUCUCUGCUCAAAUUCAUUUAUAAGUCUAAAUAAUAGAGAAAAUAAGGGCCUAGUACUUAUUUAAAUUGCUCCUCGUGGGAUCGACUUGAUACAUACCUUACAUUACGAUUUCGACCUGUAUAGUUGCAGUCAACGGGUAUAAAAUCGAAUUCAAACUUGCAUUGAUAUAAAAAUCCCGUCACAUAUGUGAGAUCGAAUUAUUUUACUUAUUUCUUUUAUUCAUUGGUAUUUGUACAUUUUCUGAUUUAACUUCAUAUACUUGUUAUGUUAUUUGAAUGUCAAGGGCUCGAUAUUCGAAUUAACCUAAUAAUCUACUGUUAGAUUAAUUGAUUGAAUCCCUAAUUGUUCAAUUGAUUAAUACCAGUGGCAACUAGCGUGAUUAGUUUCAUGUUAAGGAAACAUAUGAUCUAACUUAAACGAACCCUCGUAGCGUGUUUGUUAAUUAAGGUUGGCUUUUCUAAUUCUUAUUGCAAUUGAGAAAUUAAAUCCUAUAGUCGUACCUAGGGUUAUUUCUUGGUUAGAAAAAUAGUUAAUGGUCGUACCUUAACUAUCGAAAAAGUAAGAAAAGAUUGGUUGUUUAUCGCGUGUAUAACAACUAUAACCAAUCUAUUAAUUAGUAAUUGAAUUAUCUUUGCAUCGAUGAUCAGUUGAAAGGACCAUGUCUGAAAAGUUGCACCUUUGGCUAGAGUUGUAUUGGUUAUUGAUUAAUUCCUGUUUAUUUCUAUUAGUUGUUUCAUUAGUUGAUUAAUUAGUUAUUUUAUAUUUUUCAAAAACCCCCCAUACUUCGGACUCUGGAAGAAAUGAAUUAUCCCCAAUCCCUGUAGAUUCGACCCUGCUCACCGCUAUAUACAAAUUUGUAUUUUUCUUGAGUAGGUAAUUAUUAUUGCACAUGUUCAACACCUGUCAUUCUAUAACUGUAUACAGAGUCAUCUUUUUCAAAGAUUUCCCAUGCUGCAAAAUGUACUCUACGAGCUUUAUUUCACCCUGUUCCUGAAGAGUUUGCUUGAUCCGAUAUACCCGAAUGGGAUGGUUAUUUCUUUCACAAAUAAUUAUGAAUUUGUAGACAGGGCAAGUAGGGUCGUAUCCACAGGGACUGGGUAUAUUUGUUUCUUAAGAAAUCCAAAAUAACAUAGGGGGGUGAUUUUGUAGGAACGACGACAAUAAAAUAAAUUCAAUUAAGAAAAUAAAAAUAAAUAACUAAUUAGAGAUUAAACAACAAUUCACUGAACUUAGAGUAAUAAUAAUUAAAGGCCUAAAUCAAUUAAAACAAGGAAGCAUGAAAAUAGAUGUACACUUAAGUGGAUUAGCUAGCAUUUCAUGAAGGAAAACAGAGUAGAACUAGUAGUUCACCAUGAAAAUAGGGAAAACUGGAUUACUCUAGGUCAUUUUAUCAUGAGAAUGAGAUUUGGCAAUAUUGAAAAUGAAUCCCUGGUUAAACAACAAUAAUAACAAGAGGUAAAUCUAUUCAUUUGUGUUGUUUAUACCAUAAGUGGAAUCUACAUCCCUAGAUUUAUUCUUGAGUGAAAUUUAUCCAUUUGCAUUUAGCAUUUGUUAAACUAGAUUUAUAGACAACAACAUUAUAAUUUCUCUGCUCAAAUUCAUUUAUAAGUCUAAAUAAUAGAGAAAAUAAGGGCCUAGUACUUGUUUAAAUUGCUCCUCGUGGGAUCGACUCGAUACAUACCAUACAUUACGAUUUCGACCUGUAUAGUUGCAGUCAACGGGUAUAAAAUCGGAUUCAAACUUGCAUUGAUAUAAAAAUCCCUUCAAGUUUUUGGCGUCGUUGCCAGAGAGUGGCAAUAUUAGGGUCUAAUCAUCUCUAUUAAUUUAGAUAUUUCUAUUGUUUUUAAGUUGUUUAUAGUUGAUUUUGCAUUAAUUUAGUUUUUGACAAUUAAAGCUGCAUAAUUUCUCUUAUUUCUAUUUGUAGUAAAUGCAUCGAACAUAUCGAGAAGUUACACCUUUCGAUCCAAAAAUUGAGAGGACACUUUGUAGACAAAGGAGCGAUAUACCGCAUCAAGAGGAACAAGAGAUUUGACAGCCGAUAGAGGAAAUUUUGAAAGAGCUACCGUUUGAGGAAGAAAUGGCGGAAAACAAACCAAAUAGGCGAGUUUUACGAGAUUUUGCUUUACCGGGGACACAAAGAUCUCAAACUAGCAUUGCAAAACCAACGGUAAAUGCUAAUAAUUUUGAGAUUAAACCAUCACUGAUUCAAAUGGUUCAACAAUCUCAAUAUGGGGGUAAUGCAACCGAAGAUCCAAAUUCUCACUUGUUAACAUUUCUUGAAAUCUGUGAUACAAUUAAGUUUAAUGGUAUUAGUGAUGAUGCAAUUAAACUUCGAUUGUUUUCAUUUUCGCUAAGGGACAAGGCCAAGGUUUGGUUAUAAUCUCAUCCUUCAAAUACUUUUACUACUUGGGCUGAAUUAGCUAAGGCUUUUCUUAAUAAAUUCUUUCCACCUGGAAAAACUGCUAAACUUAGAAUGGAUAUAACUAGUUUCUCUCAACAGAAAGGAGAGACAUUGUAUGAAGGUUGGGAGCGCUAUCAGGAAUUACAACGAAGAUGUCCUCAUCAUGGUUUACCAGAUUGGCUUAUAGUGCAAACAUUUUGCAAUGGUCUCACUUAUCCAACAAAGACGCAUGUAGAUGCAGCAGCGGGAGAAGCAUUGAUGGAAAAAUCAGCCAAGGAAGCUCAACAAUUGAUUGAAGAAAUGGCCGCUAAUAACUACCAAUGGGCCAACGAACGAGGUAAUACAAGGAGAACCGUAGGUAUGCUUGAAGUAGAUACCUUAAAUAUGUUAAGUGCAAAGAUGGAUAAUGUGGUUAAGAUACUUAAUAGGCAUGUUGGUUCUAGCUCUAAUCAAGGAGUAGUUGUUACAUGUUCUACUACUUGCAGCGGAGAUCAUGAUGAUUCUAUGUGUUCUAGCAGCGAACAAGUUCAAUAUCUCAACAAUUACAACCGUCCACCCCAAAAUAAUCUAUACUCCAAUACCUACAAUCCAGGAUGACUUAAUCAUCCGAAUUUUGGAUGGAAGGAUCAAGGGAACCAACAAAAACCAGUUAAUCCACUGGAUUUUCAACCGAAGCAACCACUUCCAGAGUCCAAACCAGCUUGGGAAUUGACAAUUAAGAAGCUGGCAAAUGUAUCAAAUGAUAAAAUUGAAAAGUUAGCUAGUGUCACUACUCAACGAUUUGAAAGAAUUGAGGGAAUGAUGGACCAACUCACCAAUAUGUAUAGGAAUGUUGAGAUCCAAUUAGGGCAAAUAGCAAAUGCAGUUAACAAUCGCAACCAAGGGGAUUUACCUAGCAAGACUGAGGUGAACCCAAGGGAGCAUGUGAAGGCCAUAACCUCCGUAGUGGUAAGGAAGUAGGUGAGCCACCUGUAGUUGAAAGUGAGAGAAAAUAUGAAAGAAGAGAAAACAAGCAGUUGAGUGAGUUAGGAGAUGAUAACAAAACAAUUGAUGGGAAAGAAAAUGUGGAAGAGUGUGAGCCACAAAUUGAAGAGGCAACACUAAUUCCUCUACCGGUGCCAUUUCCUCAAAGAUUGAAACCUUCAAGAAAUGACAAAGAAUUUGAGAAGUUUGUUAACAUUUUCAAACAAUUACAUAUUAACAUUCCUUUUGUUGAUGUUAUUUUACAGAUUCCUUCAUAUGCAAAGUUUCUCAAAGAAAUAAUGACUAAGAAAAGGAGGUUAGUAGAUAGUGAAACAAUUUCAUUAACGGAAGAAUGUAGUGCCAUCAUACAAAAUAAAUUGCCACCAAAGUUGAAAGAUCCGGGGAGUUUCACAGUUCCUUGCACUAUCGAUAAUGUAGAAUUUUCUAAAGCACUACGUGACCUUGGUGUGAGUGUUUCAUUGAUCCCUUUAACUGUGACUAGGCAAUUGGGGUUGAAAGAGUUAAAACGUACUAACAUUUCCUUGCAAUUGGCUGACAAGUCUAUUAGACAUCCAAUGGGCAUUUUGGAGAAUAUGCUUAUUAAAGUGCAGAAAUUCAUUAUUCCUGUUGAUUUUAUUGUUUUAGAUAUGGAGGAAGAUGUCAAUGUACCUAUUAUACUUGGUAGACCAUUUCUGGCCACUGCAGAUACAAUAAUAGAUGUUAAAUGUGGUAAAUUUAAGUUCCAAAUUGGUGAAGAGGAAGUGGAGUUUGAUUUGAGUAAAGUGGAGAAGUAUCCCUCUUUUACUGACCAUAUUUAUUCUAUUGACAUAUGUGAUGAAUUAGCGUUAGAGAUAAGUCAAGUUAAUCUUGAUAAUGAUUCUCUUGAACUUUGUCUUAAUGAUGUAGGCUUACAAGAGGAACAAGUUGAAGAAAUGACUGAAUUUUUGCAGGUACAAAUUCCUUACAAAAGGAGAAAUGCGUAUGAGGAGUUAGGGCUGAGCAAAGGGCUACCUCCACCAUCGUGUGAGCAAGCUUCACGGCUUGAGCUUAAGCCACUCUCUAAACACUUCAAAUAUGCAUUUCUUGGAGAAAAUGAGACAUUGCCGGUGAUUGUCAAUACUGCACUAGAUGAGGAACAACUAGGAAAGCUUUUACGUGUUUUGAGGAAACAUUUAAAAGCUAUAGGAUGGACAACUUUUGAUAUCAAAGGAAUUAGUCCAACUAUUUGUAUACACAGGAUUUUGUUAGAAGAAAAUUCUAAGCCGGUGGUUGAAAUUCAAAGAAGGUUAAAUUCAAACAUGAAAGAAGUGAUAAGAGUACAAAUCCUUAAAUGGCUAGAUGCAGGUAUAAUUUUUCCAAUCUCUGAUAGUGUUUGAAUUUCUCCUAUUUAUGUAGUGCCAAAGAAAGGGGGGAUAAACAUAGUACGUGGUAAAAAUAAUGAAAUGAUUUCCUCUAGAGUUGUGGUUGGGUGACGAGUCUGUACUGAUUAUAGAAAACUGAAUGCAGCUACUAGAAAGGAUCAUUUCCCUCUUCCUUUUCUUGAUCAAAUGGUAGAAAGAUUGGCUGGAUAUGAAUUUUAUUGUUUCUUGGAUGGUUUUUCAGGAUACAAUCAAAUAGUCAUUGUACUGAAAGAUCAAGAUAAAACCACAUUCACUUGUCCUUACGGCACUUUUGCAUUUCGAAAAAUGCCUUUUUGAUUGUAUAAUGCACCGGCCACUUUCCAACAUUGCAUGAUGGCAAUUUUCUCUGAUUUUAAUGAGAAAAUCAUGGAAAUCUUCAUGGAUGAUUUUUCUGUAUUUGGAUCUACUUAUGAUCAUUGCCUUAACAAUUUAGAUCUAAUUUUGCAGAGAUAUGAAGAAACAAACCUUGUACUCAAUUGAAAAAAAUGUCACUUCAUGGUUUGUGAGGGUAUUGUUCUAGGGCACAAAAUUUCUUCACAAGGUAUUGAGAUAGAUCAAACCAAGAUAGAGGUUAUUGAGAGAAUGCCUCCACCUACCAAUGUGAAAGGCAUUCAAAACUUUCUUGGACACAUGGAAUUUUAUCGGCAGUUUAUUAAGGAUUUCUCCAAGAUUGCUAAACCUUUAUGUGAAUUACUUGCAAAAAAUAUUACUUUUCACUUUAAUGAUGAGUGUUUAUUUGCUUUUAAUAGGUUGAAAAAGGAACUUGUCUCCACAUCCAUAAUAGCAUCACCACCAGAUUGGAGCUUGCCAUUCGAAUUGAUGUGCGAUGCGAGUGAUUUUGCAGUUGGAGCUGUUCUUGGGUAAAAACAUGAUAAGCGACUUUAUGUCAUUUAUUAUGCAAGUAAAAUGCUAAAUGAAACCCAAGUCAACUAUGCAACAACAGAGAAGGAGUUGCUAGUAGUGAUAUUUGCAUUGGAUAAGUUUAGAUCGUAUUUAGUAGGAUCUAAAGUCAUCAUUUAUACCGACCAUGCAGCACUCAAGUAUCUCUUAAAUAAGAAAGAUGCAAAACCUGGACUAAUUCGAUGGAUUUUAUUAUUGCAGAAAUUUGAUUUGGAGAUCAAAGAUAAAAAAGGAUCCGAGAACUUAGUCGCUGAUCAUCUUUCUAGACUGAAAAACAUGCUUCAAGAAGACCAUUCAUCCAUUAAAGAAGAAUUUUCAGAUGAGUUUUUAAUGGCAAUUUAAAAGUCACCAUGGUAUGCUAAUUUAGUUAAUUUUGUAGUUAGUGGAGUGAUAUCAAGUGAUUUGAAUUCCCACCAAAGGAAAAAAUUCUUAAAUGAUGCUAAACAUUAUUUUUGGGAGGAACCAUUCUUUUAUAAACAUUGUGCAGAUGGAAUAAUUAGAAGAUGUGUUCCGGAAGAAGAGGUACACAGUAUUUUAAUACAUUGUCAUACCCUUGAAACGGGAGGUCAUUUUAGUACAACUAAAACCGUAGCAAAGGUAUGACAAUUUGAAUUUUACUGGCCUACUAUAUACCGAGAUGCUAGAAAUUGGGUUAAAAGUUGUAAUUAAUGCCAAAGAACUGGUAACAUCUCUAGAAAGGAUGAAAUGUCUCUAACUAAAUAUUUGGAAGUUGAACUAUUUGAUGUUUGGGGUAUUGAUUUUAUGGAACCAUUUCCUAGUUCUUUUAAUAAUAACUACAUCUUAGUAGCAGUGGAUUAUGUUUCUAAAUGGGUAGAGGCAAUUGUUUUCACCUACUAAUGACUCUAAGGUUGUACUCCGGUUUCUUAAAAAGAAUAUUAUUUGCAGAUUUGGUAUCCAAAAGACCAUAGUUAGUGAUGAAGAAAAAUAUUUUUGUAAUAAACACCUUCACUCAUUGUUUAAAUAUGGCUGCAGGUACAAGACAUCACUUCUGUACCAUCCUCAAGCCAACGGACAAGCGAAACUAGCUAAUAGAGAGAUAAAACUCAUUUUGGAGAAAACUGUAAUUGAAUCACGCAAAGAUUGGGCUACAAAGCUAGAUGAUGCACUAUGGACUUACCGACCGGCAUUUAAGACACCUUUAAGGAUGUCGCCGUAUCGUUUAGUCUAUGAAAAAACUUGUCACUUACCUGUAGAGAUUGAACAUAAAGCUUAUUGGGCUAUUAAAGCAAUUAACGUGAACUUUAAUCUUUCAGGUGGAAGGAGGCUACUUGAGUUAAGUGAAUUGGAGGAACACCGAUUACAUGCGUAUGAAAAUGCCAAAAUUUAUAAAGAGAAGAUCAAAUAUUGGCAUGAUAAAUAUAUUCUUCCUAAGCAUUUUGAAGAAGGGCAAAAGGUGUUAUUGUUUAACUUAAGACUUAAAUUGUUCCCUGGAAAGCUUAAGUCUCGAUGGUCCGGACCAUUUGAAAUAGCUCACACAUUUCCUUAUGGAGCGGUGGAAAUAAAAGGAGAAAAUGGUGCCCCAUUCAAAGUGAAUGAUCAAAGAUUGAAGCUCUAUUUGGCCGGAGAAAGGGUUCCUAAAGGAGUAAUUUACUCCUUAGGAAACACAAUGGAGAGUUAAGAAAACUGUAGGAGAGUCGAGUUUAACGAUUUUAAAUAAAGCGCUUGUUGGGAGGCAACCCAAUAAUAAUAUUGUAGUUGUGUGUUUUUAUGUGUUUCUUAAAUUUUGGUGUUAUUUGAUUGACUAAUUAUAUGUAUUUCACUUGUUGUAGGGGGUGCCGGCAUUUCAACUUCCAUAGGUGCACUUGAAGAACAAUAGUUAAAAGGGAAGUUUUCUUACCAAAUUCUGUUUUAAGUGUUUAAAAUUCCCUUUCAUGUAUAAUAUGUUGCAUUUCCAUUGUAUUCAAGUAAGUUUUAGUGAUAACAUGUUUAUACAUGUUCAUUGAUUCAUUUGAUGUGUAUCUCAUACCUAAGGGAGCCCUCUUAGUGUAAAAGUGCCAAAAUGAUCAAAGAAACUCACCCCUCGAUUUGCAAUGUAUAUGUGUUUGAUGUAUUUUGAGAGGUUGGAUAUUGUGUUUAUGGUAUAUUACACUUGCGUGAAAGGGUAGAAUUGAUAGAAAUUUCGUCCAAGGUGUAAUUUGGAAAUUGCCGAAAAAGGAGGAAAAAGUUUGAAAAAUUGCAAUUUCUGAAAUUGUUGCAGAAAAAGCCAGAUCCGAGCUCGAAUCCGUUAAAGAUUCAAAGACGAAAUUGGAGAUCCAACCUCGGAUCCGAAGUUGUUCACUAUGAUCCGAGGGCUCAUCUGUGUUUCUGGAAGGCCGGAUCCGAGCCUAUAGGAUCCGAGCCUUGGUAUACACGAUCCGACCUCGGAUUGUGUAUUCUUGAAAAAUUCAGCAUAGGGGAUCCGAACUAGGAUCCAACAAAAUCUAGUAGGAUCCGAGGGCUCGACUGAACUUCUGAAGUAGCGGAUCCGAGCCCUAUCGGAUCCGAGGGAUGCCAGAACCGAUCCGACCUCGGAUCUGUGCGCGAUAAAAACAAAUCCGAGGCUUCGGUUCUGCAUUUGUCCAAUUCUCCUUUUCCUAUUUCACCGAAAACCCUAGCCCUUUUUCACCAAUCUUCCAUUUCAUCCAAUAAUUAUUCAAUCUUUCACCACAAAAACAUCUCCCAACCUCUUGUGAUCAUAAACCCUCAACAAAUUCAUUUUAAAAACAUCAAUUUGGGGGGUUUUGAUCUUCAAAACGGGAAUUCAGGCCGCACUGAAAUCUCGCAAUUUGUGGUCGAAUUUGGGCUUGUUUCUUCAUCACUUUGCAUCAUUAUCAUCCUCCACCAUCAAUCUACACAUUUGAGGUAACAAUUUGCAAUUUUCUUUGAGAUUUUAUAAUUCCCAAUUUUACAUUUUUCUAGUUUUGGACAUAUUUUGGUAAUUGCUCAUAAGUUGAAAUUUUUUGAUACAAUUGUGCUACAUUGUGCUUAAAUAGAUUGUCACAACUAUUUUCAUGCUUAGUUUUGAGAGAAUUGUGAAUUUGGUAUUAUUUUGUAGAUUUUUCUUCUAAAAUUUUAGGUUAAUGCACAUGAACUCUUUAAUGAAUGAAAUUACUCCUCUAUGUGAACUACUUGCAUGCUUAAAAUUGAGAAAAUUGUUAUUAUAGUGAUAUUUUUGUAUAUUUUUCUCAAUUUUUAAGUUUAAGCAUGUUAAAUCUUUUGCUUGAAUAUUCCUUGUUCUUAGAGAUAAUUGGCAUUCAUUAAGAAGAAUUGGAGCUCAUUAGUUGGUACUUUGGUGAUAAUGUGUAUAGCCAAUUGGUGUGUAAUUGUUGGAUAAAAUCAUGAGAUAAUUGGCCCGUACAUUCUUGAAGUAAUGAAAUUGAUCUUUUAAGAGUCCUUUUUACUUUGAGAUUAUAUUCUAUUGAAAUAUGCAUCAAUUCUUAAGAGAUUGGACUUUUUAAUGAGAUUCUAAUUAAAAUAUGCUGUUCAAUUGUUGAAAGUGGAAUAUUCAAACAAUGUGUUGAGAUUGUAGAUUGAAAUUGAUAUCAUGCAUGUGCAAUGAGCUUGUGAAUUGGUUAAAUACGAUAUGGCCGUGAAUUUGUUGAUUGUUGGCAGGGAGUUUUUUCCUUUUAUUAGGGGAAACUCUGCCGAAAUUUUCCCAAAUCAUUUUUAAACAUUGUUGGUCGUGUAUUUUCAAGGGAUUUAGAAUUCUUCUAAUGUGUGUUUGAUCUUGUUUUUGAUAUAGGUACCAUGACUCGCACAAGACGAUCUCGUGUUCGCACUCCUUCACCUUCUUCAAGUGAAGAGCAUACUCCUUCAAUGCCUAAGGAGUCACCAGGGGAAGAAUCUCCUUCACCACAGUCGCCGCCACGCUUACGGCGUAAGAGAGCAUCUACGAGCCAUGAGAAGCUAGCUCUAGAUUAUGACACCACUCGUUUUAGACAAAGAGAUCAUAAUUGAAAAACACUUGGCCCCGGAGAUGGAUGACCACUCACUACAAGAAAAUUGUUCAUCAGUGACAACACAAAGUCAUCACAGAACAUACAAAUAUCGUCACAAAUACCUUUUAUUGACGACUUUUCGAUCGUCACAAAGUCGUCACUAAAUCCCCGUCGGUAAAAGUAAACAGUGACGACAUUUUAGGUAGAGCAUUUUUGACAAAAGAUCAAUUCGUCAAUAAAACACUUCCAGAUUGUCGUCACUAAUGACAACUAUUUAGUGACAACUAUUUGGUCGUCACUAAAUAGUUGUCAUUAGUGACGACAAUCUGGAAGUGUUUUAUUGACGAAUUGACCUUUUGUCAAAAAUGCUCUACUUAAAGUCGUCACUAAAAAGCACCGAAAGCCAUUGUAUAUAACUAUUUUACUGACAACAAUUGUCGUCACAAAUGUAACUUAGAUUUAGUGACAGUCUCUGUUGUGACAAGGAGUUUUUAUUUUCUAUUUUGUGACAACUUUUUUUUGUCAUUAGAUAAUUUCAUAAUAGCUUAAUAGUCAUAAUUUGGCCUGUAAUCAUUGCUAAAUCAUUGAUUUUGAACAAACCAUACAAAUAAACAUAAACGAUUGAUAACCAAAAGUAUUUGCAUUAGAUUACAUGGUAAUAAUAUAGCAUUCUCAAAUGCCAAAUUCAAGUGUACAUUGCCCAACUAAUGCCUACAAAAAUAACAUUUGUCCAAAAUAUCACUUGUACAUAAGGUACAUUUACAAAAGCAAUCACAGUUUAAGAAAUUGAAGAACAUCUAAAUGAACCACUCCAUGAGCAAAAGGCAAUUUUGUCUUCAACAUUCUUCAACCAUAACCAUAGAUAUCUUCCAAAAGCUAGUAUGAAUAGCAUUUAUCUGUCAUAAAAGAGUAAAAGAAGUAGGUAAGGGGAGGAGUACAAUAAUAAAGAACAAGUAAUGAGACUUAGAUUAUUAAGACAAAAAUUACAAUUCAUUAAGAAUCUCAUAUAAUUUGGGCCCACAUAUUACAACACCAGCAAGAAGUUAGAAAUCACAGUCCAAUCUAUACAAAUACAACACUGCAUAAGCUCAACUAAAGAGCUCUCUAAAACAGUUUUUUUUUAAUUUUCUUUCUUCUUCUUUAAAUAGCUCAACUUAUUGAACAAUUAAAUUGGACUCCCACAGUAAUUAUUGUUUAAUGUUUAUGCUUUUGGUUGUUUAUAUAUUAAAACUAGGUGAUUGCUUCCCACGCAAGGCAUGGGAACUUUAGACCUGUUAGUAAGGUUGUAUUUGUUAUUGUAAUAUUUUUAAUAUUUUAGAUGAUGAAAAGAGUGAUGUGAUGUGUAUCGUGAACUUGGGCUAGGAGUGAAAAGGAGUAUUAGUCAAAAAUAUAUUAGUUCCAAGAGUAGUCAUGUACUAAUACAAAGGAUACAGCCAAUGCAGUAAUGAUGAUUCACAAGAAAAAGGAAAGCAUGAUAUUUACAUAUACAACAGUAAUUUAGUAUAGAUGAUUCAAAAGAAAGAGGCUCCUUUGACGUUCAAAUACAUUCCAUUAUCAUGUAACAACAACUCAGAUGACAAUGAAAUAAAUUCACAAGUACCAAUCACUUGGUCAUUACUGCAGUAACAGUUAAUGGAAGUAGCAAGAUAUUGCUACAACUUGGUCACAUGCAAAUUUUUUUUUUGUUCUGGGUUCACAAGGAAUGAAUUCAUAAAUUAUGAAGCAGCAAAAUAAAUUCACAAGUACCAAUCACUUGGUCAUUACCACAGCAACAGUUUCAAUACCAACAGUUUCAACUUUCUUGAGACAAUCAAGUUGCAUCUUAAGUUUGCAAAAUAUCAAGUUUUACAUGUCCAUUAAAAAUUUUAAAAAGUACCUUUGCUUUCAUCACCACCUUUCCGGCUUAGGAUACCUCCUUGAACACCACCCCCAUAAAGCCACUGCUUCAUCUGGUUUUACACUCUUGUUGGGUUCCUUUCCAUCAAAGUAGUCCUUGAGAAGUUAUUGGACUUUUGGGAUCCUGGUAGCCCCACUAACAGGAACAAUUUCAUGCAUCUGGUGGUUCUCCAAACCAGCAUCCCCCAUAGCCUUCUUGACAAGUCCCAUGUUUUUGCUAAAGAGGUCAUUGUUCAACUCGUCAAAUCAAGCAUGAGUCUUAACUUGCUGCUGGCUGCUUAAAGCUCUUUUGGCACGGUCAGCUUCCCUCAGUUUUCCAAGUGGUCUGUUGUGGUUGCUGAUGUUCUUUCCAUGUUUCUUGUUAAUCAACUUGAUGAAAUAUUCUAUAAUCCUUUGAUGAAAGCCUUUGCCUACAAUAAAACAGAGCAAUUAGAACCAUAUGAAAGCUUUUUAUAAGAAAUGUAACUAAUAAAACUUAUACAAGAAAUUGGUUGCUUUAAUUAGUGUAGUUAGAUAAACUUUUUUAAUUCGUAGUUAGACAGGCAACUGCUGCUGCUCUGGGUUCAUUGAUAGUCCUAGCAACAUUCAGCCCAGCAAUAAUACCUGCAUUCUUUGUUGCCUGCCUCUGGGCAUCACUGAAGUAAAAUAUGAUUCAACGAGUAACUCUAGAAAUUGAACUAUACCGGGAACAGUUACCACAGCAUCCUUAAUUUUCUUUGCAAGGAAAGCUUCAGCUGCUUCUUUCAUCUUAGUUAAAACCAUUACACUAAUUUCCUCAAGACUGAAGACUUUAACCUUACUAUCCUUAAUUUUCACCUAGAUAUAAGGUUUUCCAUCCUUGUUCACAAUCUUACAAGGAACGAGCUUCAUAUCCCUCUAAACUUCAUUAGUCUCAAUCCUGUUAUAUAACAGUUAAGACUUCAGUGAGCAUAUGUAUACACACCAAAAUGUUCCAGCAAAAAUGAUAAAUACACGAGUGUGCCUUACUUUCAUCCAAUAAAUCUCUUGACAUCAAAGAUAGUUCUUUCAACAUUAACAUCGAAUCAGUCUUUCGCUACCAGCAAAUGCAAUCCAUGAUGGCUUAAUACGAUUCCUUGGUCAUUUGCUGUGAUUUCAACAUGACCAUUUUUGUAAAUAUGAGCACAUGAAUAGGUAGUUCCAAGAUCUAUUCCAAUGACUAUUCCCAAUUUUGCAGCUUAUUCUUUGGUGAUGGAAAUUGUAGAUAGACAGCCUUUUGCACCGAAAAAUAUUAUUGGAAAAAGUAAAACUCUUAUGUAUAGUUUUUGAGAGAAAAAAACUAAAACACUGCAGGAUGAAGCAAUUCCACACUCAUGAUGAAAUCCACAAUUACUCGAGCAACCGUGGGAUUGAAGAGUUCGAAGAGCUUGCUCAAACAUUGUGGUGACCAUCCCAAGAACAAGUGGAAAAAAUAAGAACUCAUUUAAUUUCAAGAAAAUGAAAUGAACAUCAAGUAUCAAACUAACAAACAGUGCAGGAACAGAAGAAGGAUAUGAACUGCGAAGAACAAUCUGAUAGAUAGCCUAGUGGUUAAUGGUUUUUUUUCCCAUCUCCCUUUUUUCUUCCUUCCCAAUCCUUCCUUGCUAAAAAAUGGCUUUGAAAGUAUCAAAUAGUACCUAUCAAAUUAGCGAACUGAGUUAGUUUAAAGAAGAUCCUAUAAUAGUUAUUCUAAAAAUCUUUAGUCACUUGCUACGUGAGGAGGGCGUGGCAGAUAAUAACUCUUUGUUUUUUGGCUCAUUUCGAAUUGAUAUACUUUUUGGCUUAAUUGGAGAGAACUAAUUUGAAUCAUUUCCAACCAGUUUACAGAUAAAAAAAAUUUCAUUUAUGAAAAUGAAAUAGAAAAAAUAAUAGCACAAAAACAAUGAAAAUAGACAUCAAUGGCUAGUAAAAAAAAGGUGUUCUUUUAUCAUUGAAAAUUAGGCCAAUGCUGAUCAAUGAGCUAUAGUUGUUUGACUAUCAACAGACAUAAUAUCAAGAAAUUACGAGAGCUUUUUUUGCUGUAACAUCAACAGGCAUAAUAUCAGAUGUGUAAUCUUGUUUUACCAGAGUUUCUGCCUAUACAGUGAUAAUCUAGCACAUUAACAGGCAAAAACAAUAAUCAGGCAGACAGUCACUGAAUCGAAUAAUCAGGUAGCUUAUUUUCAUUGAGCACCACCUUGCCAUCAGAUGAUUUUCAUGAAUCACUUAUCAGCAUCUUUGACUACAAGAAUUAGUACCUUUUAAUAGAUCAGCAGAAAGCCGCAAGAUUUUUCCAAACUUUAUCAACCACGCUGCAUAUCACAUGAUAUUAUUCCCAUUCAAUUGUUGAUGGAGGCUUGGAAGUAAUAUCUUGAACAACUCGAUUUACACCACAUACACUAUUGCAUAUCUUUCUUGCAACAACAUCAAGGAAAUUGUGUUCAAAAUUGUACCAGUCAGCAGUCAUCCCAUCUUGAUUUGUGACAGCUCUCAAUGCAACAACAUGAGAAUGUGUUCUUUGAUCACCUUGAACUCCAACAGACCUUAUGGGCAAGAAAACAGCAAAAGCUUGCUAUAUUUUAAAAAAAACAACCAAACCAAAUCAAACCAACCUUUACUAAUGAUUCUAAGAAAAACCCACUUCAAUUUUGCCAAGAAACAAAUUGCAAAACAAAUGAUACAGGAAAAGAAACAUCCAACUUCAUAAAACUAAACAAAAAAGCCAUAGAAAACAACAGAAAACGUAAAUGGAGUUUGAAAGUGAUAUUCUUAGAGGGGUUCAAAUGCAACUAAAUAGGGACUUAACUGAAUGAAUUAUGGAUGUUUUAGGGUCGAAUUAAGUUCAGGAACUCUGGGGCUAAAUUACAAAAAAGAAAAUGGAAUGACCGGAAUUGCAAAUUUAAGCAAACGAUCGUCUUCCCCAAGCAGAUUAGGCAUCAAUCUUCUAUUUAGACCUUCACUCGGGCAUUUUAACAAACAGUACAUGGGCAUAGAAGGAUCCAGCAAUUUUUGCUCAAUUGGGACUGUAAUUAGCCCCCCAAAAUUUGUCAAAACACAAGAGAUUUCAGUCCAAACAACAUACAAUAGCAUACAAUCUAAAAUCGUUAGCAAUCAACAUGAAGUUGGCACUGAACAAACGCACGGCAAACAUGCUUUGAGACUUUUCAAUGUUCAUACUAAAAAUGGAAAACUAAAAUUCAAAGAAGGCAGACCGCUUAUAGCGUUUGCUUGGCGAAGUCUGCAGGCGAUGGUGAUGGUCGAAGGAAGGUGCGAAUGAUCAGGCGGCUAUAGCUGCCAUGGUAGCCACGCUGGAGCUGGGCGCCAGUGGUGGGUGGCAACAUGAAAUCGAGGAGCGACAGUGAGAGAGAAAGGUCGUGCGGGAAGGGGAGAUGCGUCAGGCAGCUAGGCGGCGCACGAAAUGGAGGUGCCGUGGCGGAACUUGGAGGCGUCGGAAAUUGGAUGAGAGCAGAGUGACGGCAGCUAUGGAGAUUGCGCUCUGUGAUGGCCGAUGAGCGGCUGUUGCUCUGUAUUUUCUUUGUGUCCCCUCUAGGCCAAGACCUUUCUCUGUUUCUGGUUUCACUUCCUCAAUCACCAGCCCCCAAAUGAAACUUUAGUCUUUUCCUUCGUUCCCCUGCCGACGACCCCUUUUCUUCCUUGACAGCUAAAAGAUUUUGGGCAGAAAUUUGCAAAAAAUAUUGUAGAAUAUUAGGGAUUUGGAAAAAUUGGGGAAAAUGUAUAGGAGAGAGAAAAAUGAACCUUUCCAAUGAAAACCUUGCCCUUUAAUGCUGGACAGCCAUGGUGAUGCUAGUGAGAAGCCAGAGAACGGAUUUGUUGUGUGGGUGAAGGUAUCAGGUGCCGUGUGGAAGCUCUGUUUUGUGCUCAGUGCAGAAGCUUGUUUGUUUCAGCUCGGUGAAAGUUUGUGUUGCUCAAGUGUUCCGUUGCUUUAACUCAGACCAAGUGUUCCGUUGCUUUUCUUUUCAGAAUGUGUUCCGCUGCUUUGGUCUUUGCUUUGCUUUGGAUAUUGUUUUUGUUGCGCGGCACUUUCACUAUGAUUUGAUCAAAAUUUUGACUUCACUCAUUUUCCCUCCAUUUGAUACCAAAAUUCAUGUUUUUUUCUGGAUUUGUAAUAUGGUUUGAACCAUAGAUUUUAAUGCUAUAGUAUUAUUCUUUAUUUUUUAGCAAAAAAUAAAAAUUUUCAUCAACAUAGGUGGCAAAAUUUGUUAAUUUCAUAUAAUUGAAAAUGUACUUUUAUAAUUUGCUAAUAUUUUAUACUAAUUUCUUAUAAUUGCAGCACUAAAGAACAUCAUGUAAUUCAAAAUAAUUAAACUCAAAUUAUAUCGUUAUAACAUAGUUUCAAUAAAAAUAAUCAUUUUCCCAACAUUUGAGACCAAUCAUCAUGCUUUUUUUAUUUUUAAUUUGGUUUGAAGCAUAGAUUUUAUUGCUAUAGUAUUAUUCUUUAUUUUUUAGUACAAAAACACAAAUUUUCAUCAAUAUAGGUGGCAAAAUUUGUUAAUUACAUAUAAGUGAAAAUAUACUUUUAUAAUUUGCAAAUAUUUUAGCCCUGCAAUUUUUUAUAAUUGCAGCACUAAAGUACAUCAUUAAUUGAAAAUAACGAAAGUCAAAUUCUAUGGUUAUAACAGACUUUCAUUAAAAAUAAUCAAAUGCUAUUAAUAAGACAUUAUUGUUAAGUCAAAAUCAAAGAAAAUUUAGUGAUGACAUAAUGUUAUCACUAAUUUAUUCAAGAUUAUAAUGACAAGAAAAGUCGUCACUAAUUAAAUUGCUAGUUUUUAAUAUUGUCAAUUGCUAGUUUUUAAUACUUUUGUGAAAAUACUGAUAAUGGUUGAGAAAAUUUUGUUACAUUACUGCAAGUGAUAAAUGUACUUUUGUUCUUUUUCAAACAUUUAUUUUAAUGUUUAAUUUUGUUUAAAACUAUUGUACUAGUAUAGAUUUGCAAAACAAAACUUAAGUUCUCAAUAGUUAAAAAAUUCAUUACAGAGAAAACACAAAGUAGUAGUUGCAAAAUGUGUAUAAAUUACAGAUAUUUUAAUGUGUAUAAAUUACAGUUUAUUUUAAUAUUUAAUUUUGUUUGAAACUAUUUUACUAGUAUAGAUUUGCAAGACAUAGAUUUAUGGGUAAUUUUUUUUUUUUGCUUUCACAUAUUUAAUUUAUGUUAAAUACAAAACCUACCAGUUUCCCUUUCAUAAAAAUAUUAGUGCAACACUUUUUGAAUUUUACUUACAAACAUUUAUGUAUUUAACGUAAAUUAAAUGAUUCAGAGUGAAAUGCCCAUAAAGAGCAGAAUAUUUAUUCAUGUAAUGGAGGAAACCCACAAGGAGUUGGUACUUUAUGGGCCAUUUCUUUUUUUAAAAAAAUUUAAUUUAUGUUGAAAAGAUAACCUGCCAGUUUUCGUUUUGUAAGAAAUCAGUGUAAUACUUUUUGAAUUUUACUUACAAACAUUUAUAAAUUUAUCAUAAAUUAUAUGUUUGAGAGUAAAAUGCCCGUAAAAAGUUGGUACUUUAAAUAGAUAAUGCUCAUUUGCCCAUAAACUACACUCCCUAAAGGCUAUUUUGUUAAUUAUUUUGUAGUACUUUGUUAUUCCUUUGCUAAUACUACUUGGCAUGUAGUACAAAGGAUAAAUCUGGCAUAAAUUUCUUAUUCCAUUGAUAAAAAGACCUGCCUGCCUUAUAACUAUUGUAAUGAAAGAUAUAUCUUUAGAGUUUAUAACAAAUUAUUACUUAAGUUUGAGAAAAUUAUAAAAUAUUUAUGCAUAGUUUAUCAAGAUACCAUUCGCAAUUUCCUAAUAAAAAAAUAGGGGCUAAAUUGUAAAAGCUAGGGUGCCAUAAUAGAAAUAAUAAAAUUGGUGUAUUACAUAUGGGGGUUAAAUUGCAAAAGUUAGAGUGCCAUAGUAGAAUUAAUAAAAUUGAAUUAAUAAAAUUGGUGAAUUACAUAUGGGGCUAAAUUACAAAAAUUAGGGAGUAAUAAUAGAAUUAAAGAAAUCGGUGCACUACAUAUGGGGCUAAAUUGUAAAAGUUAAGGUAUCAUAAUCGAAUUAAUGGAAUUUUUUACAACAUUUGGGGCUAAAUCGCAAAAGUUAGGGUGGCACAGUAGAAUUACAGAAAGUGACUUAGAAAUAAGUACUUUAAACAGUGACGAUUAAUUCUUGUCACUAAAUCCAAAUCGGUAGAGUGACAGUGACGAUAUUAGAAGUUGUCACUAUAUAGAUCAUUUUAGUGACAACUUUUUCAAGGUCGUCACUGAACACUUAGUUGCUUUGAGCAAUUAUGACAACUUUCCUUGUCGUCACUAAACAAUCACGUUUUGUGACGAAUUUUGUCGUCACUAAAAAAUGUUGUCACUAAUGACCAUAUUUCUUGCAGUGUAGUUUGUGACGAAAAUAACGGGUCGUCACUAAACAUUUAGUUGCUUUGAUGCAAUUAUGACAACUUUAGGUGUCGCGACUAAAGAAGCUCCUUUUGUGACGACUUAUUGUCAUCACUAAAAAAUGUUGUCACUAAUAAAUUUUUUUUUUAGUGAUCAGUGACGACAACAAAAAGUCGUCCGUAAAUAGGCCAAGCAAUAGUGAUGAUGUUCUUAAUGUCGUCACUAUUGUGUGUUCUAAACACUCCCGCGCUCUUGCUAAAACUUGGCGGGAAUUUACUAAGUCGUCACAAAUGGGUUGGCUCCCAUUAGAGGUUUGUGACGAGUUAGAAAUUCGUUAAUAAAUGAUCCACUUUUGUGACAACUUUUUUUCGUCACAGAGAAAAGUUGUCACUGAUGACCAAUUUUCUUGUAGUGACUACAAGAUCUCCACGGCAUUCAAGUGACUUAGAUGGGAGACUAUACUAAAUUUGCCGAAGCAUUACUAUCCCAAUCUGGUCCGGGAGUUCUACGCCAAUGUGGAAGACAAAUAGAGCCACAGUGGCAACCUUAUCAUCUCCUGGGUUCGAGGCAAGAGAGUGGCUCUCACUCGACAUACAAUCACCCAAAUCGUCAAACUAAAGGACAAUGGAGAAGAUGUUAAAUUGACUAAGGAAUUUAAGGCACGUGAUCCAUGGCAAGUCGGAGAAACUGUGGCACGUCUUAAGGGUCAAUAUCGGGAGUGAGGAAGUUCGAAGAAGCUCAUUGUAUACGCCGAUUCCUUUGAGCAUAGGUACCACCUGAUCUUCUAUCUCUUCGCCUUCAAUGUGGUACCAAAAAGGAGUGGAAAAAGGGAGCUCCGAAACGGUGACUUGUAUUUCCUCGAUAAUAUGAUGCAUGGUGUAGGUAGGCUGCUGACUGGUAUUCCUCUGGCCAGCAUCAUCAUCAGUUACAUGCGUACUACAGCUUGCAUGAGAGCCGACGAAACUUGCUUUGGGUUCCCUCGUUUGCUCUCCCUUAUUUUUAAGCAACUCAAGGUUCCUCUGGGAACCGAGUGAGCCAUUGUUACUAGGGCAGCCGAGGAAGUCAACGGCUCAGUACUUAGGUCCUUAGGUAUUCCUACGGAUUUUGGAGCUUCUCUGGUACAGGAUGUUGGAGAAGCAUCGACUUCAGCUUAGCCUCCAGCUCACACUGAACCACACCAGGAAGCUCAAGAGAUGGAGGCAUAGCAGACUCUCCCUCCUCCCAUUCCACGACCACCCCCUCCGCAAUGAUCCAAGUGGCAAGAGGCCCUCAAUGCCAUAUGCUGUAUGGAGACACGAGUCAUCAAGCGCAUUGAUCAGACGGAGCGGCUGAUGACGGAGCGACUAGACAGGCAUGAUCGCCAUCUUCGAGCGAUCGAGGAUCAUUUCCACAUUCGCCGCUCCCCUACACCGAUUCCUAAGCCAAGGCCCGAUGAGGGCAUGCAGAUCGUGAGGAGGGUGGCAGCAAUGCAGAUCAUGAGUUGGGCGGCAGCACUGAAGCGACUGAGCUUGGCGUCUCCUCUGCAUAAUUUACUUUCUUUUCAGCUUUUAUUUAGUUUUUCAUCUUUUAUUUUCGAUUUGGUGUUAACUUUUUGUUAUUUUUCUAUUUUUCUUAAAACUUGUGGAAUGGUCUCACUCUCUAUGGAUAUAUAUUUUUCCCUUCAUACAGAAUUUGGCUAGUAGAAUUUGGAUGAUCGUGAUGAUCGUGGUUUCAAAUUGCAUCACUACUUCUUUUGAGAGGAGUAUUAGUUUCUUUUACCUUCCUCUACAAUGAGGACAUUGUGAAUUUUAAGUGUGGGGGAGGGAUUACUUUAUCUUAUGGGGUGAUUGUGUUUUGAAGUGCAUGAUUUUAGUUAUUUAUGGCCUAGAAAUGUUGGAAUCAUAUUUGGAAAUAUUGUCAUGAAGAUAAUUUUCUUGAAAUUGAGGCUGUUGGCAGGGAGUUUUAUCCAUAUAUAUGGGGAAACUCUGUCAAAAUUUUUCUAAAAUAUUUUCCAAUAUUUCAUUGCAAUUCUUUCCAAUAAUGGCCGAAAUGUUCAAUUUUAAAUGUCUAAUUCUUCCAUUGGAUAAAAUGUUAUAUAUAUUUUGGAAAGUUUAGUCCUUAUUUGACUUGGCAUUAGUCAUUAUGCAAUUAGGAUUUUACAUUUUAGAAAGUAUAUUCGGUUAAAUAAGGAAAAUUAUGCUUAGAAUUUUGCAGGUUUAAUGAUAUUUCUCAUUUUUACUUAAUUUUAUAAGUAAGUGAUUGAUAUAGUCAAAACAAGGCCAGAUUCAUCCUUUAAUUAUGCUCAGAGGGAAAUUGAUUAUUAAAAAAAAAAAUUCUACUCCAAUGAUUCGCAUACUGAGUAACCGGGGGUUAGCAUUUACAAAUGUCGACAUUCGCGUAAAAAGGUAUUGGAAUUAAAAGUAUGCCUAGCAAUUUAAAUGAGUGAAAUGUUGAGUAACCGGGAAUCUUCACCUAAAAGUGUAGAUUUUCACGUAAAAAGGCAUUGUCACUAUUUAAGUAAAAUGAAGUAUAAAAAAUCCCUCUCAGUUAUGAAAAUUUUGAUGGAUAUAUGAUGAGAAAUGCCAUAGAAUUGACUAUGUGAUUUACUUAUUUGUGAAAUUAGGAUAGGAUGAGAGAUUGAGUUGAAAUUGUUAAAAUUAAGGUAUAAUUAUCUUUAUUUAACUUGAUAUUAUGAGUAUUUAGUGUAAUCUGAGAAUUGGUAUAAUGAUUGGUUUCUAGGUUUUGAGGAACUAAAAUUGACAAAAGUACGUAUAUUAUUUUAUCUCUUGAAUCAUUGUAGUAAGUUAUGUGUAAAAUUGCUUGAGGACAAGCAACGAUUCAAGUGUGGGGGAAUUUGAAAGAGAAUAUUUAACGUACAUUUUGUACAAGUUUGGCAUGAACUUUUGGUAUGUUUUGAGAAGAUUAAAACCAUAUUUGCACUCUUUUGGUGAUAAAUAUUUAAAUAUUGUUUAAGUGUUCAAAACUUGAUAAAUGAGUGGAUUAAUACGUUAAUUUUGUGAAAUUGUGAAGGAUAUUGAUAUAUGAAAUUCAUGCACGAGAUGAAGGAAAUGUAAGGAUCGUCCAGAGGAUAAAGUACAAAAGAAACUAGGAGCAAAAGUGAAGAAAAAGGAAAGAAGUGAAAAACUGGAAAUUGAUUAGCACGGAUCCGAGUUUGGAUCCGUGUGAACAAAGGGCGAUUCGAGCCCUCGUCUGUACUUCUGGAGCAGUGCAUCCAAGGCCAGACGAUCCAAGCUCGGAUCAUUAAGAGAAAGGCCUCGGAUCAGUCUUGAUCCGAGCUCGGAUCGUAGUGCACACCUCGGAUCCAAGGCUCGGAUCUACCUCUCUCUUCUGCAAGUGGCACAGCCAUUUUUUCUCAUUUUUCACACAACUUUUCAGCUAUCUUGGGUGAGAGAAUUCGGUGGCACAUGUUUCUGCAACAAAAAGGAAGACAAAAUGAGUUAUUGACAAGUCAAAACAACAUUUCUUUUGACUUUCUUUACAAAAUCUGAGUUGUUGGAAUCAUGAAGGAGAAGAAAGUGCCUUUCUACCACCUUUUAUGCAGAGAACCAAGAAGUCAGGCAUCACCAUAUGGAAGGAGUUUUUCAUCUUGUAACAUUUUUCUCUCUAGCUAGAAGUUCUAAAAACAAGCACUUGGAGAUUUCACUUGUAAUUAUCUUGUACAAGACAUAGCAGAAAUUUGAGGGUUUCAUCAUUAAUUGGCUACGCUUUUCUUUAUCUUUCUUGUACUUGUACUUUAUGAUGUUUUGCAUUAAUAAACUUGUGAGUUUGAUUGUUAUAUCAUUCAUGAGUAGCUAAAUUUCUUUAUCUAGAGAGUAGAUGAAACUUAUGGCUAAAUGAUAUGAAUUGAAUGUGAUUUAAACUUGUUAUAUCUUGUAUUAACUUGUCUAUUUGUGCAGUUGUAAUUACUUGUUGUUGUUUGAUCACCAAUAGCAUGUUUAUAGUUGUUAUUAAUCAAUGAGAAUUGGUAGUAACAAUGGAAAAAACAUGAGUAGAGCUUGAGUUGUAUGUUCAUGAAAAUAGAUGUACACUUAAGUGGAUUAGCUAGCAUUUCAUGAAGGAAAACAGAGUAGAACUAGUAUUUCACCAUGAAAAUAGGGAAAACUGGAUUGCUCUAGGCCAUUUUAUCAUGAGAAUGAGAUUUGGUAAUAUUGGAAAUGAAUCCCUGGUUAAACAACAAUAAUAACAAGAGAAAUUUAUUCAUUUGUGUUGUUUAUGCCAUAAGUGGAAUCUACAUCCCUAAAUUUAUUCUUGAGUGAAAUUUAUCCAUUUGCAUUUAGCAUUUGUUAAACUAGAUUUAUAGACAAUAGCAUUAUAAUUUCUCUACUCAAAUUCAUUUAUAAGUCUAAAUAAUAGAGAAAAUAAGGGUUUAGUACUUGUUUAAAUUGCUCCUCGUGGGAUCGACUCGAUAUAUACCUUACAUUAUGAUUUCGGCCUGUAUACUUGCAGGCAACGGGUAUAAAAUCGGAUUUAAACUUACAUUGAUAUAAAAAUCCCGUCACAUAUGUGAGAUCAAAUUAUUUUACUUAUUUCUUUUAUUCAUUGGUAUUUGUACAUUUUCUGAUUUAACUUCAUAUACUUGUUAUGUUAUUUGAAUGUCAAGGGCCCGAUAUUCGAAUUAACCUAAUAAUCUACUGUUAGAUUAAUUGAUUGAAUCCCUAAUUGUUCAAUUGAUUAAUACCAGUGGCAACUAGCGUGAUUGGUUUCAUGUUAGGGAAACGUAUGAUCUAACUUAAACGAACCCUCGUAGCGUGUUUGUUAAUUAAGGUUGGCUUUUCUAAUUCUUAUUGCAAUUGAGAAAUUAAAUCCUAUAGUCGUACCUAGGGUUAUUUUUUGGUUAGGAAAAUAGUUAAUGGUCGUACCUUGACUAUCGAAAAAGUAAGAAAAAGUUGGUUGUUUAUCGCGUGUAUAACAACUAUAACCAAUCUAUUAAUUAGUAAUUGAAUUAUCUUUGCAUCGAUGAUCAGUUGAAAGGACCAUGUCUGAAAAGUUGCACCUUUGGCUAGAGUUGUAUUGGUUAUUGAUUAAUUCCUGUUGAUUUCUAUUAGUUGUUUCAUUAGUUGAUUAAUUAGUUAUUUUAUAUUUUUCAAAAACCCCCCAUACUUCGGACUCUGGAAGAAAUGAAUUAUCCCCAGUCCCUGUGGAUUCGACCCUACUCACCGCUAUAUACAAAUUUGUAUUUUUCUUGAGUAGGUAAUUAUUAUUGCACAUGUUCAACACCUGUCAUUCUAUAACUGUAUACAGAGUCAUCUUUUUCAAAGAUUUCCCAUGCUGCAAAAUGUACUCUACGAGCUUUAUUUCAUCUUCCUCCCCUAUAAAUUGUCUGAUUCCAAUAUGCCUAAGAUGUUCAACAAAGCGUAAUGGGAAAACUAUUUGGAAAUGUAGAUUCCAGGUCCUUGUAUAUGCAAAGUCCUUCUUACACAACUUUACAUAUUGAGAAGAUCAAAAAUUGCAAAACAUAAUAAUACUUGAAAUUAGUGAGAAUAUAUCCAAAAGAAACAAAAUAUUAAUACCUGAAAUCAGGUUUUACAAUCUGUGCACAAAAAGCACCUAAACCCAAAUGGCCCAUGUUGGAAUAGACCAAGUUUAGUUCAACUGCAGAAAUUCCUAGUACAAUGGAACUGCAACUUCAACUUCAGUAAAUUGCAAGCUGAUAUUAUGAUUCUAUAAAUCCUAAAAUCUCCCCCAAGUCCUCUUGCCUCCAGCACAAAGUAUGUACAUAGAUGCUGACCUGUUCUAUACACUUGUAGGUAAAUUCAAAUCAGACGGCAUUCAAUAGAACUGCCUUGAUUUGGCUGCAUAUUAGCACUACUGCUCUUUAAAUCUAACUUGAUUAAGCUGCACAAAAAGGGAAGAUUACAUUCGAUGGAGAAAUUUUACUGAUUGCAGAUGAAAUAGGGGCUAAAAUCAACUAGGAAAAGCAGAGAAGUUAACCUCAACCGACGAGGAAACAAGAUGCAAAAGUCAGAAGUUGUUAGCUUAAACCUCAACCGAAAGAAAAAUGCAAUCUUUGAUAUUAAACACAUAACCCACAUAAGUUAGCUUCACAGAGUCCAGAAGGAUGGUUGGAACUCAAUUUUCCUAAAAUUGUGAGGAAAAUAAUGCAAUCUUAGAAAUCUAACACAAAUAAUGGUAAUAAAAACACACAAGAAGGGUAUGAAAACUUACAAAAUGGCGCCAAAAUAUAGAUCUAACAAUAUUUGAAGCAAAUGGAUGAAGCAUUGAAGUUGUUCUAAGAUUUUUGGGCAGCAAUAAAACCUAAGCUCCUUCACGUUUAGCAAUUCUUAGGAGAUAGACAGGAGGCGGGUCUUCUUUUUUAGCAAUUCCUCAGAGGUCUCCUUCCCGUUUAGCAAUUCCCGCAUAUGUUCUUCUAUUUUUGGACUAAAAACCACCGAUGUUGGCCUUUGAGAGAAGAACAGAUGCGUGCUUCUCAAUUGACAGAGACAAGAGAGGACCAACCUUUCUAUGUAUAUAUCCCUCAGCCUCUAACAAGCCUUUGAAUUUUGAUGGAAGGACGUUGCGGGAAAAAUAAAAUUCUUGGAGGGAAUAAAACGCGCGUCCUAAAUUCUGAUUUAAGUUUUGUUGUUAAAAGUUUCUAAGAAUUGAAGUAUAUUAUAAUAUAUAUAGAAUAAAUAUUGAGUAUUAGAAGUAUAUAAUUUGAAAGAAAUCAUGUGAGGACUCGAAAAUUUUUAUUAUUUUAAAAUCCCUAAUUUUGGCUCAAUUAAUUAAUUAUUUGGAUUUUUAUCACGAAUAAUAUUUUCUAGCCUUAUUAGACCGAAGUACAUGGUUUUAUAGAUUCGUUAUAUUUUUAAAGCACCUCAUUUCAAAAAAUUAUUAUUUUUUUUAAAAAGCUUGUUUAGCGGAAAAGUGAAAACGUGUCUAAACACUUUAGCCAAUUGGGAGUACAAUAAGCUCAAAAUUUGAGACCUAUACAAUGGUCCUAAAAUAGACAAUUUUAGGUUUAAUUAUACAAGUGAUAGCUAGUGGUACAAUCGUUAUAAGAAUUUUUCAAAGGUUUCAAUUUUUAUUGCGCCUAAAUUAGAAAUACGUGUUUGCACGUGCGCGCUUAAUUGAGGGACUUUGGACCAUUAUUUUGGGACAAUUAAGAAUGGAUAAUAUUUAUAUAAAUGUAAGUACCCUAGAGGUUUAGUGCACUAGUGCAACAAACGUAAGAGAAAUCGAACACAAAACGCGCGCGUAGGGUACUAGUUAUAAUUGAUUUGACGUAUUAAAAGAUUUGACGUCAAGCGUCUUUCGUACGCAAAGGCUUCAGAACCGCAGCUUCAUUUCAAUCUCAUUUCAUUUCUGCAAAGCUUCAUGGACGGCUAGACAGCAAGAGACAACCGAGGCUUCACCAUUUCUUUCUUCCAAAACUCAUCCAAAUCCUUACCAAAACUUCCAUAGAUUCUUACCAAUCUCCACAUUCAUUUAGCUUUUCACUUGGACGGCAACUUAGCUGCAAAAGGAAGGAGCUAUCCACGGUUUCUUCAAGCUUCAAAGGGGCCGAAAAAUCUGUCCAAACCAGUCAUCAAAGUAGGUACUAAUCAAGCACCUUGAACUUGUCUUAUGGAAGUUGAUCUAUGCAUUUGAGUUGGAAUCUUCACUAUAGUAGCUUGUAUUGUUGGAAACGUGGGCUCUAUGAACUCCCACUUUGGGUUGAUGGCUGUGAUGAUGUUUGAUGAUGGUUUUAUUGCUGAAUUAGAGCUUAAGGAAGUAGAUUAAAGGUGUAUUGUGGACAGAAACGUUGUUGAACUCUUGAAGUAAAAAGUUCCCAUUUUACCCCUGUUCUGUUCGGUCAUUUUAAUGCAGAAACUGAGGAUUUAAUGGCCUGAUUAUGUUGAUUACAUGUUGCAAAAGUUGUGUACAAAAUUUCGUUGGAAAAUAUUGAGUUGUGGUUGAUCAAACGAAUUUAUUUCAAAAACUAGUAAUCUGGAAAACGGUUUCGCCGUAAUCCAGACCAGUGUUUGUAUUUCGUCCAUAACUCCGUACUCCGACUUCGAAAUCAAGUGCCGUUAGCGGCAUUUGAAACUAGACGUUCCCAUGUUUCCAACGGUGUAUAAUGGACCUUCUGGUUUCGUGUGUGUGAGCCACACCAUUCAUCUGAAGUCGACUGUCCUGUUUCUCCGUUCUGCCGAAAUGAUUUGAUGAUGCUGCAACUUUAGGCUUGAUUUUGAACCAGUUGCAUGCUGAAACUUAAAACGAUUUCUUCUGUGAAGUUGUAGCCCUAUGAAUCUAUUUUCUAACACUAUCAACCAUUUCCAAUUCCGAGUUAAAUUGAGGGAGUUAUGAUCAAUACACGGCAACUGCCUCGUUUUUGAAAACCUUAGUUUUGGACCGGCUCAAUCCUGGUAAUCUAGAACAGCAACUUUAGGCUCAUUUUUGAAUACCAUCCACUUAGAUUCAUGGAAUGAUGUCUUCUAAGGACUUUUAGUACUUUUGAAGACGAUUCCAACGGUACCAAAUUCAUCAAGUUUCGAUUAGUAGAAAGAAAGUUAUGAUUUUUCAAAGAUUUGACCAAAAAUCAAAAAUUCUGGAAUUCCAGAGGAAAUCCGCGAAGGAACAAUUUUACCAGAAUCCGGCCUUGAAUCCGGCCAGUUUCUGGACGGAUUGUCGGCCGGAUUGGUGGUCAAAUUUGAAAAAAAGGGAGGUUACCCACGGCCAGAAAUCCGGCCGGAUAUCCGGCCGGAUUGUGACGUGGCCAACCCUCCUUCGAUUUCGAUCGUUCGUUUUGCAAUCCUUUCGCUCGUACUCAAUUCCAACCAAUGAUUUUAAGGAUAAUAAUCCGAUUUUCACUUAAGUCCUACACCCUUUUGAGAAUCCAACUUAAUAAACAAGUCAAACGAAGUUUUCAAAUAUUUCCGAACCUUACCCGUGCCCAAUCUUUCUCACCACUUGGGGACCUAUAAUAAUUGUCUACUAUUCGAUGUUCAGGCACGCACGAGGACCUCCAAGAGGAUCCUACCGUGGAAGUUUGAACUCUCCCUCCAACCUACUUACUUGCAUAACUGGUGAGUGUCAAGUGUAUGCCUACUUGAACUCUAAAGUCUUGAUUCAUGAUUGACUUACCUGAUUAUAUGCUCGGUCUAUUGGAUUUUGAAAAAUGGAGUCGAGUGUGUACUUAAUCGCACUCGUUCUCAUUUGGAACAAAUGACUCAUGUUUGACAUGCUUUGCAUGGUUUAUAUGACCUGAAAUACAUGUUUGAACCUGUCAAAUGCUUGAAUUUAUGAAAUGGUAUGCUAUGAUUGCAUACGUCGAUGGAGUGAAUCUCCUCGACAUUUACAUGAUACACGGGGGACGCCCAAACUCAUAGGCCGACCUUGGAACUCGAGCCGGCAUGGGCCUGGUCGGGAACCUUGGUGAGCCAUGAGAAUUACAUGAUAAGCUUGAUCUAUUUGAGAGAUCUCGCUUGGCAUACUCGUGAAGUAUCGCCUUAUAAGUGUCGUGCGGGCCCGAAGUGGUGUAUGGUGGACGGAUGAGAAGUAAGUGGUGAACUACGGAUAUGAAAAUAUCAACCUGGUUGACGGAGAGUCAUCACGGGGAGAUAUACAAAUGACAUCGGCAAAUGUGGAACUUAACUCCUGAGAGCUUCCAUAUCCUUGAAUUGUUUCUGGUUACAUUUUGUCGGCGUUAUUACUUACUUGCAAGUGAUUACCUGAAUUGUUAUUUGGGGCUUGUUAUUUGAAUUAUGUGUCUGCAUGUGUGUUCUUGGCCUCACGAGCGUUUUUGCUCACCCUGUAGAUUUGUUUUCCUUAACAGGUUUGAACUCGGAGGUAAAAUGGAGAAGCCCUCUGAUGUACUUUUGUUUAGGGCUUGUUAUUACUUUUGGUUAUGCCUUUGGUUUUGAAAUUUUACUUUUGGUAUGGAAAUGUAACCCUUGGACGAAAUGAAAUCUGUAUUCUGACGUGUGGUUUGGUGAAUGGAUGACUAUUAUUAGGUUUGAAUACUUCCGCAUUUAUUGUAUUUAAGUUAUUGGCUUUUGUUGUGUGGUCCGGCUAUAACUUGAAUGGAAUUGCUUGAGUCCUGGCGAGAGUUAGGCAGGCGUUCCGCGGAUACCCUUUGGUUCGCCUUAGGGAGAAGUGGGGGCGUCACAAAUCAUGUAUGAGAAAAUGAAACUAAUGAAAAUAUUCAUGUGCAAUCAAUAUAAUAAAUUGUCAUCUUUAUAAUUUUUAAGUUUGCAAUUCAUAAAUAUGGUAACAAAUAAUGUAAUUCAUGUGCAAUCAAUAUAAUUAUAUUGUUAAUUAAGGUUAUAAUUGUGCUAUAUAAAGUAUUUGGGACAAUUUGAAAAAUAUCGAGAAAUUUGGGACUACUUAUAAUAUAUUCAAAAUGUAUUUUGAUUAAACUAUACAACUUGUCCUUUCUUGUUGUAAAUCCAAGUUCAAUUAUGGAACAAUAUACAUGGAAAAGUUGACCUUAUAUGUGUAUAAAUCAUCUUAUUAAUAAAAUAAUUAAACACAAUACAUUUAGUUAACUAUGAUUUAGUGAUUGAUUAUUACAUCAUUUUUUAUAUAAUACGAUAAUUAAAUAUUACAUAUAUAAUAAAAUGUUUCAAAUAUAUUUUAAUUGAUCAAAAAAAUGGUAUACUUACAAUAAACAAAUAAUUAAAGAAAAUUUUGAGAGUAGAAUUUUGUGCUAAAAACGUGUAUUUUGGGUUCAAAUUUAUAACCCACCACUUAUCCACUUAGAAUUAGCAAAAGUAUUAAUUCAUUUCUAAAUACUCUAAACCAUACUAAUUUAUUAUAAUAAAGACACAAAACACUAGCUCCAUGUGAUAACCUAUAGCAAAAAUCAUCUAUUCACUUUAGUAAAAUAUAUGAGUCAAAUUUAAAGAUUCAUCAAAUUUUCUAGGUUUUAAAAUUGGGGUGCGUUAUUUACAUGGAUUUAAAGCUGUCUGAAUAUAGUUUACUACGCAAUAAACGGCACUCAAUUUCGAGUUUUCUACACAAAGAUAUGGCCAAAAUACUAAAAUUAUUACUUAAUUUUUUGAAAAAUAGUAGGAUCGUAGGAUCAUAUGAUCCGGAUCACGAUCAUAUUGAUCUUGUUAAUUUAAUGCUAAUUUUUUAUCCUACUUACAAUUUGGAUCGUUAACCAUGAUCCGUAUCGUAGGAUCGUAGAUCGCGAUUCUAGCAACUAUGGUUGUAGCUAAAAGUUUCUAAGAAUUGGAGUAUAUUAUAUAAUAUAUAGAAUGAAUAUUGAGUAUUAGAAGUAUAUAAUUUGAAAGAAAUCAUGUAUGUGAAAAAUGCAACUAAUGAAAAUAUUCUCAAUAUACAGCUGAAAAAAUAACUAAGUUUGAUAAAUUUGCAUUUAAUUUUUAGAUAGAAGUUUGUUGUAUGAUAUGUAAUUGCCAUUUCUUGAAAUUAUUCUUCACUCUUAUACCUUCACUAAACUUCAAAGAACUUAGCUACACAUAAAAUAGAAUGAAAGGAAUGCUUUCAAGUGUGCUAGUAAGUAAAUAUUUAUACUAUAUCUGUGCUAAUACGUGUCCAUAUGUAUAAUUCAAAAGUUUUAUGUAUUUCAUAUACGAAUAUCUUUUUUCAAGUAACUGCAUAGAACACUUGAUAGGUUGUAUUUUUGCCAUUAAUUUUAUGAUUAUUUCCCUCUUUAUUUUACCAAAUAUUGUAUUAAUUGAUAGAUUCUACUUAUAUUUGGUGCUUUAUGUUAAUUAUAGGACGUUGGGGUAAAAAGUGCUAAAAAAGGGUGAUUUUCUUGGAAUUGAUUGUCACUCGCAAGUUUCCCAAUUCAAGAUGAAGUCUACGUGGAUUAUUUGUGGAAGAUUAGGAAAUUACCAUUUUUCUUAGAUAUUUUAUUUAGAAAACAAUUGGCAUUAUUCUUGGAGUUACCUUUUUCAAUUGACCCGCUUCCGAAGUUACUUCCUUCGUUAGAGCUCGUUUAUCGUUGAUUUAAAUUUAAUCUGUUUUAGUUUAAUUAUUUUCAAUUUGCAUUGAUUAUUUAUUUUUAAUUGCAAUUUUCCAAACUCCCCCCCCAAUUAAUUGUCACUUGGAAAGAAGCAAAUUUUCACUCAAAACCUUGAGUUUAUAUCUUUUUGAGUAGGAAUUUAUUAUUACACAAGUCUGACACCUGUCAAUUAACACAAGGUUUCAAGCAAUGCACAGUUUCUUUUGUACCUAGAAUAGCUAAUGUAGCAAGUCAUAUGCUAGCACAUUUUGCAACAUAACUAGUUUAUGAUAUAGAAUGGGUACAUGAUUUCCCGAUUUGACUAAUAGAAGGGUGAAUGCCCCUUUUUGUAAUUAACUCUUGCACUUCAAGUGUUAACAUAUAUACUGAUUGUUGAAAAAAAAAGGAAAGUGUUUAUUUGUUUAAUCAAAUAGUUAUGGUAGUGUUUAUAUAAUUUCGUAAACAUUGAAAGGUAAAUGACCUCGUUGAAUUUGUAUAAUUUGAUUAUGUUGAAGAAACAUAUAAUCUUGGAAAAGCAGAGAAAUUUUCUAGUAAAUAUUAGAUAAACAAACAAGUCAUUAUUUUAUUUUGAUAGCUAAUCAUUGUUCAUAUCAAUAUACUAGCUAUAAAGUUAUACUCGCAAUACUACUAUUACGGUAUAAAAUUUCUUGUCAGAGCAAUUUAUAAUUUCAUCCCAUUUUUACCGUUGACUGUUAACCUCAAGUUCUUCGGAUAUCCAUGGGACAGUGUAACCCCUUUGAAGGUCAAUUCUUAUUGUUGAUGUGGCGUGUCCCACAUCGGAGGCUGCAUAAGGAAGUUUUCUUCCUUUUGUCCCACAUCGGCAAUCAAGAAGGAAAGCCUCCCCUUGUUUACCUAUAAAUAAGGGGGCUUAGUGGUGAAGAAAAGUGCACCACUCAAGAGAGUUAUAUGAGCUAUUAGCUUUUUGAGUCAUUUAUCCCAUUUGUAGUCAAAUGUUUUAUGUUCUCUUGUUUUGAGUUUAGGAAUAUUUUCUAAACUUUUUAUGAGUGCCUUUUGGCCUAGGAACCACUUUUCUACGGCUUUUGUAUAUCUUCUUCAUAGUGAAAGAUUUGCUCCUCCUCUGUCCAUGGACGUAGGUUAAUUUGACCGAAUCACGUAAAUUUCUGUGUCUUUUAUUUUGUUUUGUUAUUUGUAUUUAUUGGGUUGCCACAACCCUUUUAUAUGGUCAGUCUUACAGCCUAAAGUAUUAUAUGGUCGAUUUUAACUCCUAAACAUUAUAUGGUCGGUUAUACCGCCUACUUUGUGCUAACUUCAGUUUGUUUAUUUCUGGACCAGUUCUAACACUUACACCCUCAUCAAAGUUUCUGGAGUUGCGUAUUAUAGGGGUGCAAACACAAAAACGAGACAUUCUUAAUCAGAUGGAGUUCCUUCUUUUUGCGAUUCAUUCCUCUGCAAACCUCCUCCUCCUCCGAUUUUAAUAUAUGCCACUGUUAAAAUAGGAUACUUUUGUGGGUUUAAGAUUAGAUCGAGACGAACUCUUUUGUGCAAAACAUUUGCCCCAGGCAUCGUUACUACAGAGUAUGUGAUCCAAUUACCAAUGUAAGGUCACAAUGUUAGAGAUGUGAAAUUAUAUUGCAAUGGUCCCUAAAAUCCAACUUGAUCGAUAGGAAUACUAAUUAGGUGAAUACGAGGACUGUGAUUCGACUCUCGAUCUUUCCUCUCAAAUUACAGUAAUAUUUUUAAUCAUACACUCAUCCCCUUACUAACUUCCUAUGGGCCCAAUAUGUUGAGUAGAAUUCGAUUGGAACAACCGAAAAGAAAAGAAAAGAAAACAAAUACAAAACAAUGAAAUAGAGACUUAGUUAGUCAAGUUGGAAGCUAUGAGGAAGUGAGGAGCACAAGUGCGAACAGAUCACCAAGGAAAAAGAAACAAGUUUUUCGAGAAUGCAAUUUGAUUUCAAGCUCAAUCAUAUUCUAAGAGUCAAUGAUAAGAUAGAAAAAAUGUAGGUCCAUUGUUAAGAUAUAGACGGAGAUGGUUGCUUAUUGAGCGUUGGAAGUAUUUCAUAUGCAAGUUGUAAUUAUAUCUCAACUUGUAUAAUUUUAAUUUAAUAAGGUUAAAUUAAUGACCAUGUCAAUGAUUUAUGCGUCAUGCAUGACAUUCUUUUUUCUUGUACUCUCCCAAAAGCUGAAAAUUCUCGUCUCAAUCUCCUCCUCCACCGAUGGCUGCAUGUCUGUACAUGUUUCCCCACAACAAGAAUAAUGAAUCAAUUGCCAUAAUUGCACGCAUUUAAAUUUUCUGAGCUGGUGAUAAAUUGCAUAGUUUUGAUUUUUUUCUAUUUCCGGUUCCCACUCUAGCUACUUCUAGAUUUAUUAAUUGGAAAAAAAAAGAAGAAGGAAUAAAUUAAACCUUAUUUAAUUACUUUUUUAGUCAGGAUAUCUAUAGUAGAUGUAAUUAUCUCUAUAGAAAUGAAUGAAGCAUCCUAGCUUGUGAUCAUUAUCCUCUGUUGCAAUUCUCUUGUUCAAACUUCAAGUUAAGGUUUGUUUGCUAAUUUAAUGGAUUCAGAACUUAAAUUUAAUGGAUUCAAAUCUUAAUAUAUUCAAAUGCUUUUGAUAACCAAAACUUCAAUAUCUGAAUUAAUUAAGUGACACUAAAUUUUCUAGACAAAACUUACUCCUAAAAAUAAGUGAUAAACUAUUUACUUAUCACUUAAUGUGAUAUAUACUCAAAUGUAUCAGAUUUAGUACAUAACAAUUUAAUAACUUAAAGAAUUCAGACUUCAGAUUUCAGUUUUAUCAAACGCAUCUUAACUCAGUGCAAACUGAAUAUGAAAUCCAAAGUGGAAAAUCCAAGAGGUUAGAACUUUGAAACCAUAGGGCCUCUAGGCAAAUUCAGCAUUUUUACAUUCUACUGAUUUAGGGCAUCUUCAAUUAUCAGUUUCAACUCCAUGGUAUAAUAUAGAUAUUACCUCUAAUAGUUGUACACACUUACGCAACAAAUAUAGAUUGUGAAAUUAAUUGUAUAAGUUUGAUAUUUUGUAGGUUUUGGGAUAUAAUUUUCACGUUUAGGAAAAAGAAAAUAUGUUAGUAAGUAAUAAUGUGAUACCCCUUGUCCCACGUUGGAAGUGGGAGAGGAAAAGGAUUGAUAUAUAUACAAGAUUUGGUCGCAUAAGUUACUAGUUACUUGGGCUAACCAUGUCGGAAAGUGUAUUUCGACACAAAAAUUACUUAGGCCAACCAUGGGCUUGGAUGGUGAUAAAUAACUUACUAGAAGCCAGGCAUAUUUAUGUUUAGAUGUCCUAAAAGCAGAGUAGUUCAUAAUCUAGAUAAUGGUAACGAUAUGAUGAGAAUGUGAAGUUAUUUGGUAAACUUUAUAGAUUAAUAAUUUCAUCAAAGCAUCAUAUACAAGCAUGAUGACACAAUCUCAACUUUCAUUCUUUUGUUAAAUCUUAGUUUUUUUCUCUUAAAUUUUUUCGAAUAAAGGAAGGAUGGAAUUUAAGCAGUAGAGGGUGGAAGGGGAUUUUGAAUUCAAAAUCUCUAAUUUCUAAGUUUUUCCCUAAGCAAUCGUCAAAAUAAAAAAAAAAUUUAAAAGAAAAAAAAAUGAGCACCUCAUGGUCAAUGCUCCUGUUCGAAGAUUUAUUCCUUUGGUUUGUCAUCAUCUCCCUCUAUGAAAUCUAAGUACCCUUGGUUGACAAUUUGUUUCCCUGAGCAUCCAUCAACACUUUUAUAUAGUAUUUUUUUUAAUAUAGUAUUAGAUUAGAUUAGAUUAGAUUAUCAAUGCACCAUCAAUAUAGUAUUAGAUUAUCAAUGCACCAUCAAAACACUUUUAUAUAGUAUUAGAUUAGAUUAGAUUAUCAAUGCACCAUCAAUAUCCUUAAAUAUAAAAGCUUAAGUAUAGUAAUCAAAAUACUGUUAGUAAUCUGUACGAUUAUUUUUUAUCCUUUAAUGUUUUAGUUUUAGGAAGAUCACAAAUGCUGCGUAUAAAGCAUGCCAUAGGCUAAAUUAAGCUAAAUUAAGUACACUGCUAAAAUGGAGAGCAUUGCUAAAUUAAGUACCUUAAGAUAAAGACAUAAGCAGCCAGAUCCAUUUGAUGUCAGCUGCUUCAAUAUCCACCUCAAAAUAAAUUAGCCUUUGUUCUAGAUUUAGCUUAAUGCUAAGUCCCUUCACCAUUCUUAGUAAUAAUUCAAUUCUGCCUCAAUUUUCUUCUGAUCUUCAAGGUAAAUGUACGAUAAAUUUCAAAAUAUAUCCCAAAUAUAUGAAUUUCUUGAAACCAUCCUUGAAUCUCAUUACCUACUCAACAAAAUGUUCCAUAAACAUAAAGAAUUGACGAGAACAACAGGGCUCCUUAGAUUUAACAAUUUCAAAUAAGCCCAAGCUAGAAUUUUUCAUAUAUUCAAACAAGAAAUUGGAAAAAUCUGACUAGCUUGCAACGAGUACUACAUCUCAAGACAAAGGAUCUUUUCAGUCACUCUUUUAUUGUAUCGAAAACCUACUUGCAUCUAUGAAUAAGCAAUACUGUGUGAUUUUAGAUGUGAAGCUAAUUCCAUGUGGUAGGACAACUUUGGUUUAAAAAAUAAGGGCAGUCCAAUUCACUCAAUACAAAAAAUAUUUUUAAAUGAUGAUAUUCACAGGAACGUCUAUCUUACUUAAACAAACAAACAAAAAAAAAACAAUAAAAAGGAGAUUGAUUUAGAAAUGUCCGGAGACUUGAGACAUGGACGCUUCAUUAGUCAAUAAUAAUAAAGUCCGGAGACUUGAGACAGGGACGCUUCAUUGAGACUGUUGUGACCAAUUCAGCCCAUAUAGGUAAAAGAAAUGGAAUAAAUCGACAAGAAAUGGUGUCAUCACAUUUUAUUCCACAUUUACCCUUAUAGACCCUAAAAGAAAUAUUGUAACAUAGGACAAACUUUGUCGCUCCGAAGUUGAAUCACUUUUCUAUUCUAUAUACUAAACUUCAAUUUUGGACACUUUGCAUCUGGUUGGAGGCAAAAGCACAGGAAAGCCCUUUUUGAAUGGAAAUAGCAUAAAAGUCUUAGUGAAUGAACAAAUUGAAUAGACCAUUUUGCAGAGCUGUGAGAUAUUCCAAAGCCGUGAAGCACAGUGAUAAGCUACAAAUUAUAGUGGUUUAUAUUUAUUAAUUGUCAAUGAAUGGUUGUAUUUGAGCUAUAAUUUGAAUGGAUGUUGCCUAAUUUAAGUAUAUGUUGGUUUUUGUGGGAAAAGCACGCGAUUGAGGAGGAAAUGAAUCGAAAACGCAACAAAAGGGGAAGAAACGUUGGGUUGCCAAGACACAAGGAUCCGCGGGUGGAUCCUGUGUCCGACGCCAAACAUUGAAAGGGACUUUGCGAGGACUUCUUCUAGUUCUAAUGAUUGGAAAACCCACUAAAACUCGAUUUUUGGCAAGUUUCAAGACCCAUUCUUACCAUAUUUCGGAUACAACUUUCAAGACCCAUUCUUAGUUCAUCAUUUUUAUAUCUUCUUUUCUUGAGAGAUCACAAUGGAAUUGUUGAAGAAUCAAAGGAAGUUCAAGAUGGAGAUUGGAGCGGGGAAAAAUUAAGAAGUUUUCUUUACUUUUAACUUCUUAUUUUGUCUUUCAUUUGAAUUCUUGGAUUUAUCUAUGAAUAUGUUGAACUCAUUUAUAUCUAAAGUUAGGAUUUUGUGAAGGAGAUUUAAUUAUUUGUUCUAGAUAAAUUAUUCGCUUUUGCUUAGAUUUAUUUAUCUUGCCUUUAUUACAUGUUUAUGUUUUGCCACUAUAGAUAUGCUUUUAGGAUUUGUAUUGAGUUGAGAAGCGAUAUACAACCGUACAUUAGAUAGAUAAACAUACUUAGUAUAAUCAUGAAAGUAGGUUAAACAUUGUAUGGCAUAAUUAUAUCACCUAAGAUUUUAAAAGAUUUAAUUAAAUACUUAUAAUCUGAAGAGCAUCGUGAGAUUUAUUAGACAAAUUUAGAAGUAUCAAGAGAUAAUCUAAAGUACUUUUACGUGAUACGUCUUUGACUUGUCAAGAAAAUAAUUGGAUAUAUAAUUCCAAUUCUGAAUCAAAAUUUGAAACUCUGUUUUUUGCUAAUUGUUUUCUCACCCAUAUCUUGUUUGAUUUGAUUAUUUAUUUAAUUUCUUAAUUAGUGAUUAAAAACCCUCUGAAUUUAAAUUUUGUUAUUUUUAUUAGAGGAAUUAAAGUAUGAAAAAUUAACUCACUGCUGCAGGUUCGACCCUACAGUACUUCAAGGGAAUUAUUAUUACGAUCGACCCUGUACAGUUAUAGAAAUUCAUCGAUCACACAGCAACUAAAAAAAAUUAAUGCACAAUAAUGUCAUGAGCAGAAACAGUUCGCAUCUUAGCUGUUCAUCAUUCACGUAGAUUUCAAUUAGUGGUCAACAAAUAAAGGCAUCGAAAAAAGUAAUCCAACUAGAUAAGUGAAUUUAUACUACAACAUAUUUCUUUUUUCUACCGCAAAAACUUAACUAAUUUACGACAAUGUAGUCCAAGCUAAUUGAAGAUUAAUUUUCCCUAAAAAAUGUUCAUGAUAAAAACUCGACAAAGAGAUAAUACAACAGCUUACUUUUGGAGAUGAUCUUAUACGGUAUUUAUUAACAAACCAAUGAGGAGCGACAAAAUGUACAUAGGUUCCCUCCAUAUAUUAGCCACUUAAGCCUUUUUUUUUCCUUUUGGGACUACACAUGACAAAAUGAGGAGUGAAUAAGUCACUUAGCAUCAAAAAUUUUCCCUCCAUAUAAUUAGUUCAACCUGAUUUAAGACUAAAUUUUUACUAUAGGAAUGUUAGUGAUUCAACAAUGAAACACCAUAGAAACUUAUUUUGGGAGAUUGUCCUAGAAGAUAAAAAAUGAGCAACCAAUCAGAAUCCAUUCAGUCUAAUUAAUUCACCAGCUAUGUAUAUUUCAUCCAUUUUCACAUUAUAGAAAGAACAAUAAUGCAUGGCUUUAUCCAUCAUAAAUUGCUCGUAUAACAUCAAGAUAUUCAUGGUGUGGACCGCAAAUGGCUCGUCAUGUCUACUGGCUACAUUUUAAACAUAUCUUAUGGCCAGAAUGAUCAUCUUAUCAACUUAACGAGUUUAUUCAUAGUACCAUACCAUUAAUUUAAAAAAGUUUCAACCUUUUACCUUCUAUAGAUGUCAAGGAAUAUAGCUAAUAACGCACUUUUGGCAGCAAUCUUCCUUCACCCAAUUAAAGAUUUUCGGAGCUUAAAGUUCAGCUCCUAAAGCUCUUCUCCAAGGCUCACCAACCAACAGAGAAAUUACUUUUAGCAAAGUUGUUAAAUUUUGGCAACAGGUUUUGAUGGCAUCUUGGUAAGAUUGGAAGAUUAUACUGCGCUUCUAAGAUAAUGUUUAAAAAAGCUAUUUUAGUGAGGGCAUUAUGGUCAAUUUGCCCCUGAUGAUAUUGACAUUAGGUCCCAUCAACAUCAGAAGGGAGCUCAUUGUAUUAUUGGAUAUAACAAGGGUGCUAGUGAAAUUAUGAAAACCCCAAGGGAGGUUUUUGAAAUUAACCCUAAAAUACUCAUUCCACGCGAGGCGUGGCGUUCCCCUCCUAGUUCCUAUAAAUAGGGCACCAACUCAAUGCACUUAUCACUCGAUAUCAAUAAUUUAGCACAUUAUUUACAUUUUGAGUGAGAUUGUGAUCAAAUGGCAUCUUCAAAAAAUUUGCUCUUUCUUAUUGGUGUUCUCUUUGCACUUGUGCUCCUCAUUUCCUCUGAUGCAGCAGCUGCAGGUGCCUAGUCCUUUUUUUUUUUUCCUUUCUUCCUUUUUUUUUUUGGCUGCACCUAAACACUUAAAUGAAUGGAGAUUUGGAGACUCAUUAUUGGGAUGUGAAUUUUUAUGGAAGUCUAUUUGCAUAUUAUCUAGCAAGUCAUAUUAAUGUGCUAAUAUCUUUUUCAUUGUUUAGCAAAAGUAAAUUUGGGUUGCUUCUAUCAAUGGUUAGUGGCACAUCUGAUUUUUCAUGCAUCCUUAUAGUAUUGCUGUAAGGAUACACGUUCCAUAGUGUCGCACCAAAGAUUAAACUAACGUUGAAAACCAAAUUAAAUGCUUCUAAUUAUAAUUUAAAGCAAAAUAAUUCAUAUCCAAGUCGCACCAUCUUAUAUGCCUGGACUGUUUUGUUUAAUCCAUAUUCUUUUCUUUGCAUAUAUCUUGCAAAUUUUCAGCCUAGCCGGUCACCUAACGUUCGCAGCUUAAGAUAAAGCUCCAAAUAUUUAUGUCUCCUUGUGUCUUGAAACAGAUCAGAAGAGCAAUAAAACCACUGGUGUCCACGAUGCCAGUUCAGGCGAGGUUCAUCAGGAUAGCAUAAGCGAAGAUCGUUGCACAUAUGGUUGCUGCCGCUGGUACAAUGGAUAUUGCCAAAGAUGCUGUCCACCUCGUGAGAAUUGCAGAUAUGGUUGCUGCAGCUGGUACAAUGGAUAUUGCCAAAGAUGCUGUCCACCUCCUGAGAAUUGCAGAUAUGGUUGCUGCCGCUGGUACAAUGGAUAUUGCCAAAGAUGCUGUCCACCUGCUGGGUAGACCCCUGAAGCUACAUCCGGAGAUGAGGUCAAAAAUUAAUGCUAAAUAAAUAAGGGUGUGACACAGGAUCCGUGACACCUAUAUUAUUACCUUAAUAUGUUAUGUUGUGUUUG